This 60059-nucleotide long non-coding RNA is filed under the name Populus trichocarpa (black cottonwood). Its description in RNAcentral is "long non-coding RNA (PTRI_LNC004208)". Lineage: Eukaryota; Viridiplantae; Streptophyta; Magnoliopsida; Malpighiales; Salicaceae. The record is from RNAcentral.
UGUUUAUGAUAUCAGGCAUUCCACAUCGUGGAAUCAUCAUUUGUUGUAUGGUACUAGAGUCAAGGUUACCAGUAACAUUCAGGUGAAAAUAUUCUUGAUAUGUUUUGAGUGCUAGCUCCAAGUGGUCAUCAAAAUCACUGCUUGUGAGAGUGAUAUCACUUGGGUAGUACCCAAACUUUUUGAGGUAUUGUUUGAGCUCAAUAAGCCCUUCCACAGUUUGGCCCUUUUGAAUCCCCUCCAGCCCUUGAAGGAAGCUGCUAAAAGAUUGCCGAUGCUCGGGUUUCAAAGUUCUUGCCUGACCUCUGAAGGACUGGAUAGAAAAGAUAACGAGGAUUGCUGAUAAAAGAUGGGAAAGUUUAGGAGCCAUAUCGUGUGUUGUUUCGGAGAAUGGCUUCAGACGUGGGUUGUGGCUUUCAAUUCUAGUAUCGGAUGGCUAUUUAUAGACAUAUAGUAUGUUGUAUUGGCAUUAGGACCAUAGUUAUAAAACCCGACCCGGUAGUUGACCCGGUAAAAUGACUGGGUCACGGGUCUUGGGGGUCAACCCGGGUUAACCCGGGUCAACCCAGGUCAAUAACAAAAGGAACACAUUAAUAUGGUUCUUUUGACAUAAAAUAUCACAUUAACAUAUAUGUUAGCAUAAUUAAUAAGAAAAUAUCACAUUAACAUAUAUACUAGCAUAAUUAAUUAGCAUCAAGGUGCAUUUAUCUUCAAAUAAAUAAAUAUUUAACAUAAUUUAAAGAUAUUAAAGAUAUGGAUAAUAAAAUAACAAGUUGUUCUAGAGACACAAAAUUUAACAUAAUAGAUAUAAGGGGACAAUAUUCAAACUCUAGUUUGCAUUAGAAUCUAUAAAUCAACAUUUUAACCCCAUUUUACAUUAGAAUCCAUAAAUCAACAUCUUCAGCUGCAUAAAAAAACAAAAGAUGAGUAAAAACCCAAGAGAGCAGCUACUGGCCUCAUCUGUGCCUUCUAGGAUCCGCUAGUAAAAAUGUCCAACAGAUAUCAAGUUCUAUAACAGUGUUUGAAAUUUGAACGUGAAACUUAUCAUAAAAAAUUCAAAUUUUAAUCACGGGAGCAUCCCGUGUAAACAAUAUUCUCUUUGUUUUUUUCCCCUUACAGCUAUGCUUUUUUCAUGCUUUUUAAUUUUUUUCCCCUUAUAGGACGAGCAAUCAAAUAAACCAAGAUGAGAAAUUAAGGAAACUGGGACUAUGAUAGACUGGGAAUGUAGAGAGAAGAAAUCACUAUGUUGUAUUCAACAUCAUGCCCAUUAUUGUUGCAUCAUGAAUCAGCUUCUUACUCAGUAUUAAUUCAAAUAAGAAAAUUAAAAAACUUGCAAUAUGGAACUCAUAGAAGCAAUGAGAAUAACUGCUCAUCAUCAUAAUAAUUUGAUAUUCAUCUUGCCAAAAAGCAUACAGGCAAUUUCAAUUCGGCAGAGUAAUGAUUGAUUCAUGGUACAGAGUAAUGACAGACAUGUAUGGCAGUAAUUGGUUUAAAUGAAUGUGCACAAAUUGGAUUAUUCCAGAUUAUAAUGUAAAAACAUCAUCAGAUAAAAGACUUGUAAAAAUAUUAAUUAUUCUAGAUUAUCAUACAGAGCACAAACCAAGAGGAGCAUGUUUUUUAUAAUGUAUAUUCAUUAAUAAAUUAUUAUGAAACUGUCCUGAGAAUGUUUGUUAUGAGAAAGUUAAAAAAAAAAAACAUGAAUUUAACAAAUAAUAAAUCAAUGACAGAAAGGGAAGUGAAAUGGGAGAUCCAAAAGGGGCUAGAAGAUUCAAAGACAAAAACCCAAAUGUGUAAAGCAAGUAGCAGAGCUGCAGAUGCGAAAAUCCAGAUGCGAAAAUCAUAAAAGCAAAUAAUUUGACUUGGACACAAUAUCAACGUAAAAGAGAUAGAGCACCUGUAGAUUUCUCCAAUGAACUCUCUGUUGAUUGUUGUCUAUUCUGCAGGAGAUACCGACAGAAGUAAAUCUCUUGGUUGUUGUCUAUUCUGCAAGAAAUUAGGGCAAAAACUCUAGCUUUCCUUUUGCUUUCCCUGAGUCAGUGAUCGUUCAAUAAAGUUAAUAUAUACACCGGUCUCACCCGGGUUAGCCUGGGUCGAACGGGUCACGGGUCGACCCACCGGGUCGACCGGGUUUGACCGGUUUUUUUCUUAGGCCGGUCUUUUGUCUUACCCGGAUCGGUCCAGGUCCCGGGUCGGCCAGGUCCCAGGUCGACCCGCCGGGCCGGUCCGAGUUUUAUAACACUGAUUAGGACUACAGAAUAUGUCUUGAGAUUUACUACUGUCCUUAUUUUUGUUAAUUCUAAUUGCUUAUUUUCAAAUAUUAAUUAUUUAGACUACAUUUGUCCUUCGAGCAUCUAAUUUAUUUAUUUUCUUUCAUAGUAAUCGAUGAAAUUACUAUCUAAAUAUUUGAGUUUAACUUUCAUUUAUAUGGUUAUUAUUAGAUAUCAUUAUCCAACAAAAUCAACAACCCUGAGGGGUAGCUUAACUAGUCAGGUCAUGAGUUUGCUCCUAAUGGUCACGGGUUCGAGUCCCCUCAGGGCCACUGGAGGCUUACAUGAUCAUUAACUUUAGGGCCCGUGGGAUUAGUCGAGGUACACGCAAGCUAACCCGAACAUUUAUGUUAAUAAAAAAAAAAGAAAGUACAUCUCUCUUCCGUGUCUCAUAAAUUUAAAUUAUUAAAUGACUAAUCCUAAAUUGAAUCAAAGUUUUAUUUAUCAUUUCAAUAAUUUUUUUUGUCAUUGUUAGUCUUGAAUGAUUAAAUAUAGUAUAUUAUUUUAAUAUAUCUUUUUUUUUAAUUCAUUUAAAUAAUGCUGCUGAGAAGGAGCACUCAAAAUAGAUGAUUAUGGGUUUCCAUAUGUAAACCAUACAAGAUACAUAUCACAAAGGUGAUGAUCUGAAAAGUCUGCAGUCUGCUCAUAGUGUGUAGACGACCCAAAAAGACAAGCCAUAAGAUGAAGGAGUGUCGUGGGACAUAUUUUGAAAACUAGAGAAGAUGGUGCAUAGUAUUCUUGGGCCUGGUAUCUCGAAGUGCCUCCCAAGCUGAAUCAAUAGUGAACCUCUUCAAAGAAUGACCUCUCCAAACAUAGUGAUCUGAAGAGUUAAUUGGGCAUGGAAUCUAAUGCAGUCCCAAAUUUGUUAGAGGUCCUAACUAUCUAAAGGAAAGUCCCAACCACCAUCCUUAAUAAUGUAUGCAUCCUUUGCAUCCCAAGAUAAUCCAGUAGAUGAUAAAGUCUUGAAAGGCAAAAAGUCACAAAAACAUUGUCCAUAUGACAAAUAAUAAUCUAGCCAUAGAGAAGUUAGAGAGCCAUCACCAAUGCAAGAUACAAACAUACCUCUACACCAAUCUUGACUAUGAAAAAUCUUUCGCCAUAACCAAAAAGAUACCAAAGGUAGCCUAUAAAAAAUGAUCUCCCUCUGAGCAAUACAGAAUGCACCUAAGCUAACCAAACUGAGGAUCUGUUUGAAAGUAGCCUCCAAAUAUGCUUGAGAAUAGCUGCUCUAUUUCAAGUCUUAACCCUUUUAAUCCCAAGUCCACCCUCCUGCAGAGGAUAGAAAACUAAAGCCCAAGCCGCUUUUACCCCUAAAAGGGAAGUAGAUGAACUGUUCUAGAGAAAGGCAAUUAACAUGCCCUCAAUCUCCUAAUAAUAGAACAAGAAAGGAUAAACAUAGUAGACCAAUAUUCCUGGGAUGGAAAAGAGAACAUAUUUGAUCAGUUGCAAACGACCAACAUAUGUAAGAGAUGUCGAGGUCUAUAACCUGAUCUUCGAGAGAAUCCGCUCAACCAAAGCCAUGCAGUCACUAUGUUUUAACUGGGUAGUAAUAAAAGGAACCCCCAAGUAUCUGAUCGGCAAGGAGCCCAACCUGAAACCUAAGAGAUCCAAACGAGAUGCUUUCAAAUCAUCAUCUAUACUUGAUAUGAAAACAUGGCUCUUCUUUAGGUUGUUCAUCAGCCUUGAUAACACAACAAAGUCAUCCAGAGCCCUCCUCACAACACCCACUGAAUCUGUGUUUGCCUAACAGAAUAUCAUAAGGUCAUCAACAAAGCAUAAAUGAGUAAUACUCUCGUGUUGACACCUCAAGUGAUAGUGGUAUCUCUAGUUCUGGGUAGCCUUUCUAAGAAUACCACCAAGACUUUCAUAGCCAGCACAAAGAAAGUCAACUACGCGUUCGCUUUGGUUGCGAGACAGCUUGAGGGCAUACAACAUGUGCCAAAGAUGACUAAACUAUCACAAUUCUCUAGGUUAUUCAAAGACAAAUCCACUUUAAAAGUCAAUGAAAACAUCAAACAAGAUUGGAAGCUUCUGGUAUUGAUAAAAAAAUAAAUUAGAUGGUUUGAGAGAUCCAGUCACUAGUGAAAAAUACCCGAGGUGGAUAAAUCUAUCAUUGGUGACUUUCUUCACGAAUCUCGAAUUCAAAAUGGAAACUUCACAAGCUGCUGAACUAAAUAAGAGAGAAAAAAAUUAACAAUGAGGACGAGCUGAGAGAACAACUGGAAAAGCUCUAGGUAGAAUUGGGCACCAAUAAAGCCCUCAGGAUCUCCCUCGAGGAAUAACUCUUCACUGAAGAGAAACUGAGGAAGUUUGUCGAGUAACAAUUGAUAGAAAAAGACAAAAUAGUCAUGUCUUUAGAGAAGCAGCUGAGAGAGGGAAAAGUGGCUAGCAACCGAGUUGAGAAAGAGCGAGGAGAAUUGGGAAAAAGUUGGAUGCAAAACAACACCGAAUUUAAGACAUUGAAAGCCAAUUUCAAUGAUUGCCAAGAAAGAGCUGAUAUGUCUUCAAGGGUCCAAACAGAAUUAGAAAGCCGGAUUGAACAAUAUGAGCAGUUAUACAAAGAACAUGUGAUGCUUGAAAGUGAGUUGGCUGAAGAAAAAGCCAAAGAAAAAGUUGUUGGGAAUUCCAAGAUUGAUAAGAUCAACUUGUUAAAAAGAGCUUGAUAACGAAAAAUCAGGGCAAAACAUUUAGAGGAGAAAAAUAGGUUGUUGGAGCACCAUAAUCAGAUGAUUGAUACCAAGAAUAAUCAACUGGAUAGGAGCAACAUGUUGCUCUUAGAAAAGAUGAGUAACAUGGAUGAGCAUAUUGAUUGAGCUUUUAUCCAUGCUCGAAGAAUUCAUCUCAAUGCUCAACAAGUUGGGAGAGUUCUUCACUGAUAUCAACCAAGUAUAGUUGAAAAUGGUGCUUUUCUUAGGAAUAUAGGAAACAAAAGCUUUGUUUUCCCCCUGUAGAUGAUGAUGAAUGAACUGAUCCUCAAAUGUAAAAACUUUCACUGAACAUUAAUGAAAAGGGCUUGGACCUAAUCUUCUCAUCAUCAUUUUGUAUUGAUGAGUAUAAAUAUUAGGAAUUGGCUCAAAUCAAAUUGCCUCGAUAAUUAUAAAAGGAUCAGAAAUCUUACCCAAAUGAUGACAUAUAUCAGUCCAGAAAUUUGGCUAAUCCACAUCCAAACAUGUAUCAUCAUGCAUAAUUAUACAUUCAUAUGCAAUUGUGUUUAUGAAUUUCAAAAUGUGCCCAAUAGGUAUUUGAAAUAUAGGUCCCCCUACUAAAAUCUAUAAUACCAGGCUUCGUAAAAGGAUGUAAAAUGAAGAAAGGGUUGACUACCAAAAAGAGCUGGAUGAUGUUAAGAAUAACAUGGCUCGGGUGACUAGUUUACUCGACCAACUCUUGCGAGCAUAGUUAGGGGAAGGGACAUCCAGUCAUCAUUUGAAUUUGUUAUCGCCGUUAGCAGCUCUAGUUAUCAUUGACCAACAAAACUUGGAAACAAAUCCUACCACUAGACCACAAGGAAUAACAAGAAAUUCAAUGACUUACCCAAUUAUGCCUGCUCAAGUACCGACCAUAAUAGAUCUAACUAUGAGGGAAUUCCAUGGGGUUAAAUCUUUUGGUGACCCUAAACAAGAUAAGUGGGUUGCUUGGGAGGAGAGGUUUAGAGUUGUUAAGGGAUUUGAUGUCUGUGACUUGGUUAGAGCAGUUGAGAUAUGCCUAGUACUAAAUGUAAUGAUACCUAAAGAGUUUAGAGUACCAGAAUUUGUCAAGUACACAGAGUUAGAAUGCCCUAAUACAUACCUAAGGUCAUAUUAUAAUAAAAUGAUGGAGGUCAUAUAUAAUGACAAGUUGCUCAUCCAUUUCUUCCAAGACAGCUUGACUGGUUUCGUCUUAAAUUGGUAUAUGACUUUAGAUAAUACAAGGCAAUACAAAUUCAAUAUUGAUAUCAUUUUAGACUGGACAAGUUUAAUAGUGAUGGAGAAGGGCAAUAAAGAAAUAGUGAGGGGGUAUGCUUAUAGAUGGAAAAACAAGGCAAUGCAUGUAUAAUUGUCUUUGUUAGAAAAAGAAAUGGUGACUUUAGUCGCCAAUACUUUCAAAUCUCCAUACUAUGAGUACCUGAUGGGUAGCUUUACCCAACACUUUUAUGAUGUCAUGGUUAUUAUUGGGAGAAUAAAGUAAGGGAUAAGAGCCGACAGAAUAUCAGAACCCACUAAGAAGGAAGGGUUUACUAGGAGGAAAAAAGAUGUUGAGGUAAGCAAUAUAGAAGAAGGGUACAUGGGUAAAAAGGAUUUCCAAACCCAAAGCUAUCACAUCCAAACCUAUUAAGCCUUGUCUCUUAAAGUACACAAUAUCAGCUUUGCCAAGUCUUUUAUAGUAAAUCAGCCUACCAACCCAUAAAAAAACCAAACUGAAAACAACCCAAAAAGAACAUACCAAAGAAACCAAGAACAACUCCCACCUUUACCAAUACCUCUAGGGAAAAUGUAUGCAAAACGGUUAAGUAUAGGUCAUGUGACCCCUCUUCCUUUUCCACCAUUUAAACCUCCCUUUCCAAGUUGGUAUAAGUCAGAAUUGACCUAUCACUACCAUGCUAGAAAUCUUAGCCACAUCAUACACUUGCUCAGCAUUUAAGAAGAAGCUCUUGCAAUUAUUCAAGGCAGGGUGAAUAACUUUUAAAGAUACCCCAACAUCAAUUUCAACCCUUUACCCAAUCAUGCUUCUAGUAGUGGAGGAGUAAACAUUGUGGAGUAUGAAGGGAAGAAAAAGCAAGUUUUAAGGGUAAACAUGGAUAAGCUAUAAGACAUGUUGUUGUAAGCCGAGUAUUUUCCAGUAAAAAAUGGAUCAGGUCCAAAAAAGGAUGAUGGUUUUGGUAGGUUCCACAAAGCGAUGGGACAUAACAUUGAGGGAUGUGAGGAGUUUUAGCAGAAGGUGAUAUAAUUGAUAACUUUUGAUCCUUUACAAAUAAAGAAGGAGGAAGAGGAUGAUGUGUGGGCAUGAUAAGUUUAUUAGGGAAGAAAGUAGAAGUGUGUAGGAUCCACCGUACUGAGAGUGGUCCACUAAAACUUGUUUUGACAAGAGCUACCUUUUGAGGAAAAGUUGUUGACCAUACACAUUUUUUAUUCUUCUGAUUCUAGAAAAACCAAAGCAAACACCCAUCAAGAUGGAUUGAAACUCCUUUAAAUAUUGUUUUUUAUUGCUUAAAUCUCUUUCAAAAAAACUUUGUAAUGGCUAUAAAGUGAAGAAAAUGGUUUUUAUGAUGGUUUUUUUAGUGGUUUGAUGAAAAAUUUGGGUCUAAUGUAUGGUGUACAUGGUAGAAUAAGUGAAGGGUAGUUUAUGUUCUUAUAUAAGCCUUGGCUCAUUAAUGAAGCUCAAUUAUCUUUAGCUUCUUGUGCCACUAGAACAUUUAAUGGCCUUAAACUGCCGAUUAAUUACUUUAUUGGAUUGAUUAAGUCAUCUCUUUAGGUCUAGGUAUAUGAUAUGACCCAUCACUUUAUUGGACUAAAAAAGGAUGGGUCAAACCUUAAGAAGUCUAAUUGACUUAACUACACCAUAACAUACUAGUCUUUAGAUUAAACAUAAGGUUUCCACAUAACCCAAUACGACAACACACUCGAGUAGAGGAGCAAACCAACUCCAAAACACAAGUUAGAAUAGGAAGGGCGUAACCCAAAAUUAUUCUAUCCACUCUCUCUAUAGUUGAUAUCAAGCGUUAAAUGCUCUCAUGUCCUCCUAUUAUAAUUAGGCUCAUAGAUUGGUGUUAGGGAUGCCCAUAGCCAGUGGAUAACCCAUAUGAUAUCAUUUCUUUACUCAAUAGUGAAUCACCAACCAUAAGAAUGUUAUCCUAAGUAAUUGCAACUAAUGUAUGUUUCAUAUUAUUUUCCCCUCACUUUAUCCUUAAUUUCAUGCAAGUUGGCAUGAUUUAUGGCUAUAUAAAUAUCUAUGAAUCACCAGGUAAGGCAAGUUCCAAUAACAUAUUUCUUAGUGCAUAUUUUUCCUCUUCGUAACUACAUGUCAUUACGACCCUGUUUGGGGUUGCGUUUGCACUAUAAUUUUAGUAAAUUUUGAAAUUUCUUUCUUCAAAUUAAUUUUUGUUAUGUAUUUUUAAAUCGUUUUGAUGUGCUGGUGUCAAAAAUAAAUUAAAAACAAAUACAAAAAUAUAUUAUUUUAAUGAAUUUCCAAACGAAAAACAAUUUAAAAAGCAACCUCAACCACACUUUCACAUCUCCUUUAAAUUUAGCAAACAUAUAUACUACACGAACUUGAAAGGCUUUAUUCCUUUUAUAUUUGUGAUAACUUAAGUAUUUGAGGAUCUUUUACGCUAAAAAGUAUUUGUCUUCGGGUAUUCAUGAUUUCCAAUGUUUUUCAACAAUCUACUUCUAAAUUUUCAGCCCAUUUAUUAAUCUUGAAAAGGUCUUAAUCUUGUGUGGUUUUCCUCACCCUCGUAAAAAAGAAAGUAAAUUAACAUGUCCUUUGCUCUUAUAUUUACACCUUAAUAAACACGAAUCCAUCCUAUGUCUUCCUCGUAAAAAGAACAAUGCUAAAUAAAUUACAAAGUAUUGAUUUCUUGGAGAGAAAAAUAUGGUACCUGCAUAAUUAAUGCCGAAAACAUGUGAAUAAAUUAGAAAGAAAGGAUUUUAUAUUAGCCAUAGUUUCAUAUAAAAAUGUGAAUAGUUUUGUCUUUAUUAAAUUUCCGGAAGUAUAUUCAAAAUAAUCAUCAAGUAAGUGGCCUUUGUUUCAUAACCUAAAGCACCGGUCUUCUUAUCAACAGCAGAAGCAAUCCUUUUUUUUUUUUUUCUUUUUUUUUCUAUUUAUAGGCAAAAUAGUACAAGGAACGCCUAUGAAGAGGCAGCAGGAAAUUGUAGCUAAAGGAGAUUAAAAACAAAUCACACUAUAUUACUAUCAAAACUCAUGCCACUGCUUCUGAUGAAGUACUGCUUCUAAAGCGCAAGACUUCAUCAGAAGCAGAUACCAAGACCAAUCAACUAGAGAAAAUUCAAUCCUAUGGGAGCAUCUUGGGUUUUCCUUUAUGAUGGGUAUCGUAUGUCCACAGCGUUACAACUGGAGUUUUGCUAGCUCCGCAUCAAACAACUCAUCACGUCGGUAUUAUGUAUUCAUCCUCGCCGGGCCAAGGCAAAAGUGUCGUCUUCAUGAUACCGAUUUCUCUUAUAAGGUAUGGAAAAUAUCGGCAUCAAUUCCAUCUCCAUCUCCAUCUCCAUCUUUCCUUGCAUCAAAUUUUUUGUUUGAUCUUUUGAGCCAGCAGUUUGGACCCAAUGAUGUAAGGGUAAAUAAUGAUUCAUGGUCAUCAGCAUGUGUAUGGGAUUUGGUAUUCAGACUUCUUAUGUUUACUCGUAUCCUCGGACGAAUCUUGAUGUCUUGUCGAUGCAGUCUGGCAACAGGAAGUCUAUGGGUUUUGGCUGUAAAUGGCGCCGAGAGAGCCCUACCAUCAAAGGCAAUAUCGUCUUCAGUUUCAUUAUCGUUUGUCCUGUUUACCUUUUUUAUUACGGACGAAAUGGUUUGACCUUCGAUUCCGGAUCAUUCUUUCUUGUUAGAAAUUUGUCUUAGAAAACUUGGCGUUAAGAAAUUAAAAGUAGAGUACACUUAUUUUUAAAUUUAAGAUGAUUGAAAAUUAUUUUUCUGACAAAAGUAUUUUUACAUAAAAUAUUAACUUGUCUAAAAUAAAUUAUGAAUAAAUAAUAAAUUAAUUUUAAAUAACUCUUAAUUAACAUAUUUUUUUAAAAAUUAAAAGCACUCAAUCUCACAUUGGGCACAAAGAACACCAAAGUUUUUAGAUGGGAAAUGCCCUAAUCUAAGUGGGCUUAGGGCAUAAUUCACACGCGCUCGCUAAGCUUGACUCGACAUCGAGCUCAAGCUUGGGGCUUGGGCUUGUUAUAAAAUAAUUUUUUGACCCAUAAAAAUUUAAUUUUUGCCAACCCUUAAAUAAAUAAUUUGAAUAGUUUAUUUUCAAAAAUAAAAAUAUAUGGUUUUUAAGGAAAAAAACUGUUCGGUUUUUUAUUCUUUUUAUGGUAGGUAAUUUAGGUAAAAUAGCAAGAAGUAAUUUUGGUAAUUAUUAGAGUUAAUUCCAUAUUAGUUUUUGUUCUAAAAAUCGGUAUAAUAAGGAGUUGAAGAAGAGAUGUUUUGUAUAACUUGCAAUAGUUUUUUUUUCUUUUUCUCCAUAGUUUUUUCAUCUUCCUUAACAUGAUCUUGCCUUGUUUUUACUUUAUUCUAGAGCUUAGGUUCUAGUACUUUAAGAGUGAUUCAGGGUCUUCUUAUUUUUUUUACACUAUCAGAAAAUCAAUGAAUACAAAUAGAAACACCAACGGAAAAAAUACAUCAGUAUUUUGUGGUGAUAUUUACCGAUCAAAUUUUUUCAAGUGCUAACUCUGUUGAUAAAUACUGACGGAAAUAUAUCAUCGGUAUAUACCGAGGGAAUCCCAGUUAGAAUAAAAGGAAUUAAAAAAACCAAACAGUACGAUAAUGUGUAAGUUUUUAUAGAUGCUUUUACCGAUGGAAUUACAGUUGAAUUCAAACAGACAAGUCGUACAGUGACGUGUCACUUAUACCGAUAUAAAUGUCGACGGAUUGAUAGACGAAAUAAUUUUAUCGGUAAAUCCAUCGGUAAUAUUUAAUAUAUGACUUGACGCUUGACCCAGCUCUCCCCCUCCCCUAUUUCUCUUUUUUUCAAAGCAGCCCCCCCACCAUAUCCCCUCUCAUCUCAAUACAACUCAUUCUUCCGUAAUUUUUCAGUUACAACAACACUCUAUUUGACAGCAUUCGUGUUCCGGUUGAAAUUUUAUUGGGGAUUUUUCAUCUUAAGUAAGCAAAUCUAUCCUUUUUUAUUGCAUAUUUUUGUAGUAUAUGUAUUUUGUUUGAAUGUUUACUUGUUUUAUUAUUUUUUCUCAAACAAACUUGUUAUAUGGAUUUAUGAAUUUGUACAUGUUAUGGUUUAUUUUAGGUUCUGUAAAAUUAUAUUUGUUUGCAAAUUGUUGAAACUUAUAUCAAAUUAUCGACUUAGGUGUGUUGUAAUAAAAUAACUAAUGACUUGUUUAACGACUCUAUUUUAUAUUUUUUUAAUUUUAUUGUCGAGUUGUAAUUUUUGUUAACGUGUACAAAUUUGUAUCUACAUAGAUAAUUUAUAAUGAAUUAAGAGAAGUAUUAAAGUAGGUUGAAUAAUCUUGAGUUAAACCAAUAUUUUUGCAAAUUUAUUUAGUUAACAUAGUUAAUUAAUACAUGUUGUCAUCAUUAUUUGAUAUAAGUUCGAUGGACGUCAUGGAUGAUCGUUCAUGAAUGUAUCGAGAUUCACCCCAAGGAUUGCGGAGGAUGGAUUAUUUUAAUGGGUUUUAGGGUUUUAUUAAUUAUGUAACAUCUAAUAUGAGAAAUAUUAGUGGAGGCAGUAUUAGGUGUUCAUGCAAGAGGUGUAAAAAUAAAAAGUUUCUCGAUUCAGAUGAUGUAAUGAUACAUCUUCUACACAAAGGGUUAAUGGAGGAAUACUUGUGUUGGUAUGCACACGAAGAACCAUUUGUUCCUCACGAGACCAUGGUAGAUAGGAUGGUUGAGUCAACUUCUAGUGCUAGCAACGUGCAUGGAGUUUUAAAUGACAACAACAAUCCUUUUUAAGACUAUGGUUAUGGAAACGAUUAUAAUGAAUCAAGGUCAUGAUGGUUAAUGUCCAAUUGUAGAUGAAAAACCUAAUGCAGACAUUGCCAGAUUUUUUUGAUCUUUUGAAAGAUUCUGACGAGCCAUUAUGGGAUGGCUGCACAAAUCACUGUAAAUUAUCGGUGUUGCACACGUGUUUACCAUAAAAUUGGAUUAUCGGUUGAUAAGGCAGGUUAUGACAGAAUUGUCAAAUGUGCGAGAAGUAUUUUACCUGAAGGGAAGAGGCCAAAAGAAAAUUUCUAUGCUGCUAAGUCUAUGAUGAAACCCCUUGGUCUAGGAUACCAGAAAAUUAACAUGUGUCCAAACUUUUGCAUGCUAUACUACCUUGAAAGUACUGAGCUAACCAAGUGCAGGACAUGUGGGCAUUCCCGUUAUAAACCCAGAACUAGUAGGGGAAAGAUUCUUGUUGCACAAAAAAAACUUAGAUACUUGUCAAUCACAUCAAGAUUACAGAGGUUAUUCAUGUCACUAAAUACUGCUGAGCACAUGACAUGACACCAAUCACAUAAUACGAUGGAUGAAGUGAUGACACACCUUUCCAAUGAUGAAGCAUGGAAACACUUUAAUAAUGUGCAUCUUUACUUUUCAGUUGAAUCAAGGAAUGUGCGUUUUGAGUUAGGUAUAGACAGAAUCAAUCCAUCCGAAUCAUUUGCUACUCCUUUUUCUUGUUGACCGGUUAUACUCACGAUUUACAACUUGCCACGAGGGAUAUGUAUGAGGUAGGAGUUCAUGUUUUUAUCUAUAUUCAUACUUGCCACCAGGAAUAUAGAUUUUUUGUCUUCAACUAUUGAUUGAUGAGUUGACGUAGUUGUGGUCCUUCGGGGCUUUGAGUUAUGAUGUAUCGAUAAAACAAAAUUUUCUUAUGAAGGCAGCUUUAAUGUGGACUAUCAAUGAUUUUCCAGCUUAUGGAAUGGUUUCUGGUUCGAGCACGUAUGGAAAACUAGCAUGUCCAUACUGCACAAAAAAUUACUAGGCAUUCACGCUAACAAACAACGAUAAAAUGUCUUUUUUUGACUGCCACCGAUGUUUUUUUGCCAACGGAUCACAGGUAUAGAAAGAACAGAAAGGAUUUUAUUAUUGACAGAGUUGAAAAGGAUGUUCCACCCCCGUGUGUUUCUGGUGAAGAAUUAUAUGACGUGGUGUCAGAGUACGGUGAUAUUGUGUUUGGUUUUCAAUCCUGUAAGCAGAAGUUUUCGAGUUUUGGUUUGACCUACAAUUGGGUAAAACAAAGUAUUUUAUAGAAGCUUUUUUAUUAAAAGACCAAUCUCCUCCGCCACAACCUUGAUGUCAUGCACAUAGAAAAGAACGUGUUUGAGAAUAUUUUCAAUACGGUCAUGGACGUGAAGGGGAAGACAAAGGAUAACAUCAAGGCUAUAUUGAAUAUAGCUUUGUUAUGUAACCGUAAAAAUAUGUAGUUGGUUUAUGCUGGGUCAUGGGUUGUAAGACCCAAAGCAAGCUUCGCUUUAGACAAGAAUACACAACUAUUAGUCUAUCAAUGGCUUAAGAGUUUGUGUUUUCCCGAUGGACAUGCCUCGAACAUAUCAAAGUUUGUUAAUUUAGAGGAUUGCAAAUUGUAUGGAAUUAAGAGCCAUGACUACCACGUGUUUAUGCAAACAUUAAUUCCAUUAGCUUAUCGUAUUUUAUUGUCAAAUGGGAUAUGAGAUGCACUCACGGAGAUCAAUUAUUUCUUUAGAGAUAUAUGUUCCAACAAGUUGCAGGCACAACACAUUGAGAAGCUUGAAAUGAAUAUCGUCUAGACAAUAUGUAAACUUGAGAUGAUAUUCCCUCCAUCAUUUUUUGACUCGAUGGAGCAUCUACCCAUACAUUUACCAUAUAAGGAAAAAAUUGGAGGCUUAAUUCAGUAUAGAUAGAUGUAUCCAUUUGAGAGGUUAGAGAUUACACAUGCAAUGCAAUUAAAAAAGUAUUUUCAUUGUUUUUGUUAAUUGAAAACAUUCGUUUAAUUCCAUGCAAGUACCUUUUUAACCUUUAAAAAAAGGUUAAAAACAAAGUGUAUGUUGAAAUUUCAAUAUGUGAGGCCUAUAUUGUUGAUGAGAUCUCAAAAUUUAUCUCCUACUAUUUUGAGCCUCAUUUAAGAACAAGAAUCAAUCACGUUUCAAGGUAUGAUGAUGGUGGUGAAGUGCCUUUAAGUGGGAACUUGUCAAUAUUCUCAAAUUCUGAACGACCCGCACUAAAAAGUGUUGUUAGGGGAAGAUAUUUAUCUGAAAUAGAAUUCAGAUAAAUAUAUAAUUAUAUGCUAUUUAACUACGAUGAACUGAGACCUUUUAUUCAAUAAGUAGAAUACUCAACUUUGUUAUUAAUAGACUAUUUAUCUCUUGUAAUAUCACAAACUUAUACAUUGUUAAAUACCUCGUAGGCAACAUCGUUAAUAUUUACUGUCUAAUAACUCACAAUAGAUUGAAUCUCAAAUCUUUCGAUUACAAGAUGAAUAAUUUACCACGUGGUUCAAAAAACAUGUAAGUACUAUCACAAACUCAUUAUCAAUCAUGAUACUUAAUUUCGUUAUAAAAUUCUCGUUCACUAUUCACUGUUGUACUUGAUGUACCACGUUUAUAAAUUGGAAGGGAAUGCUAGUGCUACAUUGUCUUUACUAAGUUUAGGUCUUGAAAGAUAGGUGAAGUGCUACAACAUGUAUUUUGUCAAUUGAUACGUGUUUUAUAUUAAAGAAUAUAGGCAGGGUAGAAAUACAUAUGACAAUGAGAUUUAUGUUAAGAGAUCGACUUUUAGUGAGUUUGAAGUUGACUAUUAUAAGAAAUUAAAAGAGAUAAUUGAAUUGCAAUAUCAUAGCAAGCAUAAUAGAGUAUUUUUAUUCAAAUGUUAUUGAUAUGACACCGCUGACUAAGGAAUCAGAGUAAAUCCCCAUCAUGGUUUAGUCGAAAUUAACUCAAAAGCUAGACUCCGCAAUGUCAACAAUUUCUUUGUUUUUGCUAAGCAAUGUUAGUAAGUUUAUUACACAUACACCCCUUCUUCAGAAAAGAUUAUUCAAGAGUUGAUUGAUUAUCCGUAUUGAAAACCAAACUCAGGGGUCGUGUCGAGGUUGUUUAAGAUGAGAACGAUGACUCAAAUAUGGGAGAUGAUGUUUUUCAAGUUAGUGAGUUAGUUGAACUAUAUCGAGUUGCUCUAUCGAUUGACUUAUAAGAAAAUUUAAAUUUUCACGUCUUCAAUAAUAUUUUUGUUAAUAUUGACGUUGAGGAGUUAAAUGUUGUUCUCAGCUCCAACGGACAAGCACAAGUCCAUGAAGAUGAUGGUAACAAUGAUAUCAACGUAGAAGAUUAUGAUGGAGCUGGCGACGAGUCAAUUAAAGAAGAAGAAGACAAUUCUGACUAAUUAUCAAAACAUGGAACUGUAAUGCCAUAAAUUAUAAUAUAAUAUUUAUUGAUGAAAUUAUCUACAAAGAAGUAUUUAUUUUAUUAUUGUUAUGUAAACUCGUAUUAUUGUGUUGUGCGUGCAACUUUCAAUUUAAGUAUUUGCAGGAUGGAUAUAUAGGAAAUACAAAUAUAAUCUGGCAUCAGACACUGUUUAACUUGGAUAUACAUUAAAACAAUAUUUUUUAUUUUUAAAAAAUUAUUUUUGAUAUCAAUAAAUCAAAAUAUAUAAAAAAAAUUUAAAACUUUUUUUUUUCAAAACUUGCCCAAAUUUCAUUUGGAACACAAUAAGAAACGAGAGGCUACCAUCAAAUGCAAUAUCGUAUUCAGCUUCAUUAUCGUUUGUCCAUUCCACCACGAACCAAAUGGUUUGCCCUCCGAUUCAGGGUGAUGCAUCUUUCAGUCAGCAUUAAGGCUCGGUAAUUAUAUUUCCUAUGAUUAAGAAACUUUUGGAUCUAUUCCCACUCCAUAAAGAUUUUAUUGUUAUUAAACUUCUUCAAUCUUUAUAUUUUCUCUUGAAGUGAAAGCUAAGGAUAUCUACAAAUAAAAGAAAUUCCGAACCUAACAAAAAAUUGAAGUGUACAUUAAACUUAUAAUUGAAUUUGGCCUUGUUGCUUAAAUUCUGAUUCUUUAUAUAUGAUUUUAUUGAUAUUUUAUUGCAAAAUAGAUUAUUACAUCUCAUCAUUUUAUAUAUCAUCAUUAAUUCUUUUUAUUAAAAAGAAUAUUUUACGGCCAAUUUAUUUCAUGACAAUGAAUGAAUUUAUUUAACAUAUUAACGAUUUUUACUUUAUUGAAAAUAUAUUUUAAUAAAAAAAUUUAAUAGAUAGUUAUGAUGUUAUAUUAUUAUGAAAUAUAAAUAUAAAUAAAAAAACUCAAAGAAGGUAAGUUUUAUCACUCAACAAAUUUAAAAUGGAUAAAAAUAACAAUUGGAGUGUGAAUAGCUAGUGCUUUCAUUCUUUUUAUGAGAAUUAUGGUGUACUUUGAAUUGGUUUCAAAAUCUAAUGUAGAAACUCCCUUCAUACUAUGAAAUAAUUUGUCUUUGUCAAUUGAAUAUAAAAUUAAAAAAUAGCAAAAGAUAUUACCUUUGGAAACUAAGAGGAUAAUCUUUAGAGAAGUCCCCCUUCCCUCUCAUCAAAUUAUAUUAAAAAAUUAUGGAAUCAAAUUUUAAUAUCUUUUAUAGAAUUUGAUAGGGAAUUAGGGCCCAUCUUCAAGAUAGAGAUUAAAGAGAAAAUCAUUCUUAAAAAAUGAAUAUCUCCACUUUAGAAAUAAGUGUUUUGAUUUAUAUCUCCUCUUGAUAUCUAUUUUUCUCUGUAAAAUAAAAAUUAGUAUUCAUUAGUUACUACUGAAGUAACACAUGAAAUAUUUUAGUGAAUUAGAUCAAUUAAUCUAAAUUUCUAUAUUUAAAUAUUGCACUUGACCCGAUUGCAAUUGUGAUUUGAUUUCAGUAUAAUUGACGAAACCCAAAUGUGCUCAUUAAUUGUUAACAUCGAAAGUUUAAAAAAGUUGAAUGUGUUAAAAUCACUCGAAACCUAUAUAAAUAGAUACAUAUGAUUAAAAUGAAAAAACGAAGAGACACAAAAUAUUUAUAAUUCUUCCAAAUAAGUUUUAUUUAAUUCAACAAUUUGUUUAACAAUACUAAUGAUGUUGUUGAGUAGGAUUAUAGUUGAUAAUAAUAAAUAAUUGAUGAAAUCUUCAUGUUAAAACAAUACUAAUGACGAGAGGGAAGAUUGAAAAACAGAGAGGAAUUGUUUUGAGAUAUAGAGACGAGAAAAGAGAGAAAAUAGAGUAGAAGAGAGAAGAACCUCCACCGUCUGCCUUCUUCAAUAUUGCCGCCAUGAGAACCGCCUUGAGCCACUGUCGACAGCAGCUCUGUAAACCCCCGGUUAUAAUUUUUCUGGGUAUUUAAAAGAUGAGAAAUUUAACCAAUAGUAAAAGGGGUUAAAUUAAAUUAAAGAAACCUAAAUCAAGAUAAAAAUAGUGAAAUUAAUGAAAUGAAAAGUCAAUAUAGUACUAAAUUAUUGAAAAGAAAAACAUUUGUGAGGACAAAAUGAAUAUGUAAAAUCAAGAGAGGUCAAUAUUCAAAUAACAGAAGGUUGGGAGUUUAUGUACAAAUGAUAAAAAGGGGUGGGGAUAAAUGUGCAAUUAACAAGAUGUUAGAACUAUAAAUAUCAUUCUAUUUUCUCUCUUGGAGGAACUGACAAGAGUAAGAGAGAGUUUAGAGAGAGGCUGGACAGAAGACAUAUUGAUGGCAGAACAUCCGACAGCUAUAACUCCACCUUCCACCGUUGGAUCAGAACGAUAUUCAGAUAUAUUAUUCUCAUCCAUGUCAUGUACAUUUUCACUAUAGGGAUUUUCUAUAUGAGUCUCCGGUUGAGAGAUAUCGAGGGGGGAAAUAUCUGGGAAAAUACACUUCUGGACAAUCUUCUUUGCUGUCUGUUUUCUCCUUCGGCCACUGUUGGAUUAGGCUAUAAUUUGGAUAUGUUGUUCUUCCUGAUUCUGUCUAGACUCUGAACGGUGGAGAUCUGAAACAAACAUUCGGUAUAGAAGUUGUGCAUCUCACACAGUAGGUCUGCAAGUUUGAAGUCAGUUCGGUUAAACCCAUAUUUCUAGAAAUCGCACCAUUUGAUGAAGUUAAUAUUUGGAUAUGUUAUACUCAUAAUAAUGCAUUAUAACUUGACAGUAUGGAUUGUUUGGAAUAUUAUUCGUUUGUUAUUUAUGGUUGAUUGAAACUGUUUUCAAGGAUUGUGUUUAGAAGAAUAUUGUUCGGAAAGUUUGUAAAAUCGAUAAGAAUGUUUUAUUUUGAUGUUAAGAGGGAAGAUUGAAAUAAAUAAGGUAAAUUGGCUCUUAAAAAGAUAUUUUUUUGACACUCUUAAAUGAUAUGUGAUAUGGCCAGGGGUUGAGAUAAAAGAGAAAAAGUUAAAUUAUGGAUGUUGUGUGUAAAUGGAAAGGUUGAUGAAUCUUGACAGAUUCGUCUCCUGACUUUUAAAGAGAAUUUGAGUAGGAGGAUGAGAGAAUUAGGAUCAAGUUUCUUCAUAGUAAUUGUAGUUUUGGAUGUUAGCUAACUAAGAAAAAUUGGUCUUGCUCAAUAUGGAGCUGUAGAACCCUAGCUAUGGGUCAUCAACUGAGAUUGGGUCCUGAUAGACCCUGUAGGGUAGUGUUUGUUGAUGAGCAAUUUUGACUAUUUCAGAGGCAGAACUGGGUUCUCCUUACUCAGAGAACUUGUAGCCUCGUGUAUUAGCUUUCCAACGAGACUAAUCUCGCUUGAAACAGAGUUCUAUAACUUUAGAUAUAGUUAAAAAUAUGAUGAGUGUUCAGACAAUGACAGUUGGACAAUAACAGUUCAAUAUCUAGACAGUAACAGUUAGAUAGUAACAAUUGGAAAUUUGACAGUAACAGUUCAAAGUUAGACAGUAAUAAUAAACUUUGACGUGAAUACUAUAUAAAAGAAUUGAGUCAUACGAACACUUGCACAUUGAGAUACUAACUCUAAAAAUAUACAUGAUAUAUGUAUGUAUGUUAUUAUGAGGAAAUGAACAUGCAUAAAAAGUAACAUAUGAGUAAUGGAUGAUUAUGGAUUCUCUGUAAUAUUGGACUGAAGGAAUGAUAACUAUGGUUGGAUAAAGGAUGACAACAUUAAUGGGUGUAAUGAGAAAAACAUGAGAUAUAAAGAAAGAAAUGAUUGAAAGAAAGAUUUAUUAGCUAUUGAUAUGAUUAUUAUAAAACAUAUCCUUGAAUGAGGAAAAUUUAUGAGAUGAGUUUGUGACUAUAGGAAGGACCACCUGUGUGGUGCAACAGCAGCAACAUGGGAGCACAAGUAGAGCUUCUACUGCAGGUAGGUGACUUUCACCUUCCUUUUAAAUAAUGUUGAAUAAUGAAAAUACUUUAUCAUGAAUAUUACUGUAUUGUGUUAAUUCAUAUACCAGAUUGUCAAAUGCUUAAAUGUAAACAAUUUAUUAGCUUCGGCUAAUGGCAUUCGAAGGGAUGACCGGGACAAACGAGUGAUUAGCUUUGGCUAAUGGCAUCCGAUAGGAUGGCCGGGACAAACGAAUGAUUAGCUUUGGCUAAACAAAUGAAUGAUUAGCUUUGGCUAAUGGCAUUCGAUGGGAUGACUGGGACAAACGAAUGAUUAGCUUUAGCUAAUUGCAUCCGAAGGGAUGGCCGGGACAAAUGAAUAAUUAGCUUUGGCUAAUUGCAUCUGAAAGGAUGACUGGGACAAACAAUUGAUUAGCUUUGGCUAAUGGCAUCCGAAUGGAUGACGGGGAAAAUUGAAUGAUUAGUUUUGGCUAAUGGCAUCCGAAUGGACGACCGGGACAAAUGGUUGAUUAGCUUUGGCUGAUGGCAUUCGAAGGGGAUGGCCGGGGUGAGUGAACAGUUAACCUCGACAAAUGAUGUCUUAAAAGAAUGGCUGGAUUUAAAUUUAAGAUUAUGGUUGAUUGUAAGAAUUGGUGCAUAUAUAUGUACUGCAAGUUGUGUAUACCAAGAACAUGAAGGAACUACAAAUGUCACGCUUCAAACAUGAGAUAAUGUUAAUGCUUCAUUAAAUUGCCAGACCAUUUUCUUCUUAUUAUUAUUAUUAAGUAAUUGCAUUCUUGUAAAUGUUUUGUACUGCAGUAGGGACGUCAUACCAACAAGGUGCCUAGAAAACGCAAUACACGGGAACCUACUUUUGCAAGGAAUCAUGUAGUUGCAUUCUAAAUCAUGAUGUAUUUUAUAUGAAUCAAUGUACUGAAUGUAUAACUAUUAUUAGAUCAUUUUAGAUUAAAUUCAUGAUGACUAUUUGUAGGAUAGAAUACAAACUCAUAUCUAUACAUGUAUAUUUUAAAUGCGAACUUAUAAUCAUGCAAACAUAAUAUUAUGAGUUUAUGUAAGAUUCACUUUUAACUGAAAAUGUUGAUUGUUGUUGAUGUAUGGAUUGUAUAUUGAUGAUGUGAAGGGAACAUGUUCGUCGAUUACCAACACGAUGUGUGUCAAGUACAAAAAAAAUAAAAAUUUACUGUUGUUUUGGGCUUGAAAAGUCGGGUUGUUACAAGCUCCACCACCAGCAGAAACAGAGGAGAAACCGAAACAAAACAGAGAAAAGGAGAAAGAACAGGAGGGAGGGCAGAAACAAAGGGCAAGGAAAACACAGAAAAAAGAACCACCAACCACCCUCAGCUCCCCAGUCUGCCACCGUUAGCGCCAAUAACAACGCCAUCGACAGUAGCUCCACCAUCGUCAGAGACCGAAGAAGAAAUGUAGAAGCAGGAGAAUAGAAACAAGGAGAAAAGGAAAACAUAGGAAAACAGAGAGAAAAACAAAGAAGAACCACCGUCUAGAAUCCUCCAUCCGCUGCACGAUUCUUCCUCAACACUGUCACCACUUGCCACAGUCAACACCAGCACCGCCACCACUGCCAGGUCAGCUUCUUCUCCUUCAUCGUCCUCGGCUACUCCACUGUUCUGUAUGAACAGUGGAGAGUCCUCCAUUGUUCACUAGGCCAGACAAGUCUGGCCCAACCCAAAACGAGAAUCGCCUAGAGCCACUGUCGACAACAGCUCCACCACCAGCAGAAACAGAGGAGAAACCGAAACAAAAUAGAGAAAAGGAGAAAGAACAAGAGGGAGGGCAGAAACAGAGGGCAAGGAAAACACAGAAAAAAGAACCACCAACCACCCUCAGCUCCCCAGUCCGCCACCGUUAGCGCCAACAACACCGCCAUCAACAACAGCUCCACCAUCGUUAGAGACCGAAGAAGAAACGUAGAAGCGGGAGAACAAAAACAAGGAGAAGAAGAAAACACUGGAAAACAGAGAGAAAAACGAAGAAGAACCACCGUUUGGAAUCAUCCGUCCUCUGCGCCAUUCUUCCUCAACACUGCCACCGCUUGCCACAGUCAACACCAGCACCGCCACCACUGCCAGGUCAACUUCUUCUUCUUCGUCGUCCUCGGCUGCUCCACUAUUUUGCAUGAACAGUAAAGAGUCCUCCAUUUUUCACUAGGCCAGACAAGUUCGGCCCAACUCAAAAUGAGUGGGUCGAGUCCGGCUCAGUCCAAAUUUUUUUUUUAAAAAAAAUCAUUUCGAAAAUUUGUGAUUUUUCUGCAUAUUUUUCUGUCCAUUUUGAUUAGUAUCGGUUUGUAUUUUAAUAUCAUAAGGAUACGAAUCUGGUUUUCAUCGAAACGUUGCAAAAAAUAAAAAAAAUAUCUUGUUUUCAUGCAUAUGACCAAGUCUUAAUACGACAAAAAAUCAUAUCGUAUUUUCAUACGACAAAAAAUCAAAAAUAUGUGUUAGCAUGUAUUUUAGCUUUAAUAACCAGCUUAUUAAAGCCACGAGAACUUGGUCAAUAUUCCAAAAAAUUUCAAAAAAAUCAUUUUGUUUUCUUUUAGUAUCUGGGAUUACAAAUUUAUACAUACAACGUAUUCCCAAUAUUAAAAAGAUAUUUCUUUUUAUUAACGUUAGAACGGUUAGGUUUUACCCGAUAAGAUAAAGAUAUGCUUACCGAGGAUGACUUUUCUUAAACUAUAGACAGACCAACAUAUAGACGUUAGCAUAUAUUAGACAAUAAAACAAUACAACUUACCUUAGGUAGGGCGUAUUUGAGUUGCUAAUACUUUCACUUUACGCAACUAGUCCCCGUGCCCGAUCUCUGAGACCAGUUAGGGUUCCUAGUGACCAAAACACUAGGUGACGACUUUCAUUCCAUCAUUCCACCGAUAAAAGACAAGAAUUCUCUGAGUGGACAAUCAUCGUGACGCCGCAUACGUGCGACAACAUGAAAGUCAUAUUGUAUGGAAUUUGUAUGAUGUGUUUCUUGAGAGAAAGCUUGUAUUAUUCAAAAUAAACUUUUAUUAAGUGUAAAUUAUUUAAAAUAAUAAUAAUUUUAUUCAGAACCUUUAUAAAUCUAUACAUAUAAUUAAAUCUAAUCAUAUAAUUUUUUUUAAAAAUUAUUUGAUUGCUGUCUUGCGCUUCUAUUAUCGUGGAAUUAAGUAAAAUAUGAUUUUAUAAAAUAAAGUUGUUAGACCUCACUGAGUCAUUUGUUUGGCAUGUAUACUGGAGUUGAUUCAAGAUAUCAUCGUCUUAAUAUUUGAAGAACAAUGUUAAAAUGUUGAUGUCUUCAAUUCUUUCUAGUCAAACUAGAUUUUUACUAGGUCGAUUAGAUCAAACUUUAACUUACUUAGUUGAUUGGAUCAUAUAAAAGUAAAAUCUAACCCAAUUUAGCUUAACACCUAAGCUAGGAGAGGGCUAAACUCAAAAUGUCUAUGAUUUUAAUUGAAAUUCAUUAAAACAUUAACAACACCUGUAAAUACAUUUUUCUUUUUGCCAUCAAAUUUAAUUUUUUAUCAUACCUACAAUGUAGCUUGGUUAAGUUAAUUAUGGAUCAUCUUACUACUUUUGUUUUUCAAAUUUUGUCAAGAAAUACUGCUAAAACACAUAUUAGCAACAAUUAUAUAUAUAUAUAUAAAUUAAUCCUACCUCAUGCAAAACACGUGCCACUAGCUAGGUUAAUUUAAAGCACCACUUGCUUUGCGGUAUUGGAGAGAAUGUAGUCAUCAUAGAUUCUGUUUGGAAAACUGAUCUUCGAAGAGAUUAGGAGCUGGAUAUUGUCUUCCUCUUCCUCUUUUUUAAUAUUUAUCUAUAUCAUAUUCCUCGUCUUAUUCUUCACCACUGUAAAGGGAUAUUUGAAAGGAAAAAAAAAUUGUAAAGUUUUAUUGUGUUUUUACUUUCCCGUCAUAUAUAGUUUUAAAAAAUACAUUUAAAAUCCUAGGUCAAAUAAAAAUUUAAAAAUAAUAAUAAGAAAAUAUUAUCAUAUAUAAUAUAACACAAAUAAUAACUAUAACUAUGAUAUCAAUGUUCACUAGGGUUCCAGAUUAUAGCUAUUUGAUUAUAGAAUUAAAAAGUGAGUCAGCCAGAAGGUAGUUAAUUGGCAUUUCACAGACAUAAAAUGGGUGUUUAUAAGUGAGGUGGUAAUUGUUUUUUAAAGUGUUUUUUGACUUGAAAAUGCAUCAAAAUAAUAUUUUUUAUUUUUAAAAGAUUAAUUUUGACAUUAACACAUCAAUAAUUUGAAGUAAAGAAAAAAAUAAUUUUUUUUUUUUAAAAACCUUUUGAAAUAUAAAAACAAAUAGCCAUAAUAACAAGCAAAACAUCAGAUGCAGUUAAUGAUUCUUAUAAGAUUUAAUCAAUUAUUUUUGGAACACGACAGUUAAAACCUUUGAAAUUGAAGCAUGCACCAUAAAAUGAUGAUGAUGGCCUUGCUGAACUGAACCAGAUUGCCUCAGGUUGUGGCUUACGUCGCCUUGCGUUGUGAUAGGAAAGACGUCUACGACAGCUUCGCUUCUUGUCAUCAAACUCUGACAAUUCACGGAACCUAAACAAAUUUUGCAUCCUAAAUGCAGCAGCAGCAGCAGACUUUAGCCGUAGAUAAUAACAUCAGAAAGCUUAGCAAAAGCAACAAAGCUAAAUCAUGGAGAUUAAAAAUGAAUAAUUACUAAGAAUUCCCCAAGAAUCAAGAUUCAUGAGAGUGUUACGUAUCUGGAUGACAGAAUAGUGGGAGAUGUUGCAACAAGAAAAAGACUACUAUGGGGAGGCAAGAAGGAGCGGGAAGUAGAGACGCCAGGAGCACACAACCUGCUGUUUAGUUAUUAAUAUUCUUUUAGUUAGUUGGAGUACAUUCGGUUAGCAGAGUUUGUUAAUCACUUUGAGUUAGUUGGAUUAGUACAAUUUCGAUUUCAUUUCUCUCUUCUCUGCUAAUAUCAUUCUGCUUCUUAGCCUCAUCUUCUUGAUUUGUUAAGUGAUCUUAACAAUUGAUUUUAGAGCCUUAAGAUCUAACACUAUGAUGAAAAAUCAUAAGCUGAAAAACAUUGAAGAACACUGCAAGAAAUUGGAGGAGCGAAUGCAAAUCCUUCAACAAGAACUCUAAGAAUCCCUGGUCGAUCAACAAAACAAAUGGCAGGAACAACUCGGUGAACAAUUAAAGUUGGAAGACUAAUUAGAUUAGUGCUCAAAUUGAAACACUGUCGAAUCAAUUUCAAACAUUCCUUGCUCAUCAGAUGACAGGGAAGGAUGUGGGAAGCACUUCUAGAGGAAUCUUACAGGCACUAGCAAGCGGCAGUCUUGAAGGAAUGUUAUCAAGGGGAAAAGGUCCUGCUAGGGGAGAUCAAACUUAUGGCCAGGAGCAGUAGAGAGUGGUGCAUAAUGCUGCUCUUCCAAGGAUGGAUCUGACAACAUUUCGAGGAGAUAAUCCUAGGGGUUGGUUAAGGAGGUGCAAGAAGUUUUUUAGCCUCAACUCAACUCCAUUUCAGUAGUGGGUAGAACUAGCAUCUAUUUACUUGGAAGGAAAGGCAUAAAUCUGGUUUGAAGGCUAUAUGCGUGGGGUAAUUCACUGGUUACUAUGCGCACAACACAGUAACAAGCUAUCUAUGGGCCGAUUCUGGCCUAGUUUCUUUUGGGCUAGGCCAGGCCCAGUUUUUUUGGGAUUUGUACUAUUUCCUCGCGUAUUUUUAUGCCUUUUUUAUUAAUUAGUAUUGGAAUAUAUUUUUAUGUCAUUAAAAAUACAAAAUCUGGUAUUAAAAUACCCGGUUUUCGUCAAAACUUCCAAAAAUACAAAAAAAAUUGAAAAUAGAAAAAAUAUUUUUGUGCAUACGGCCAAGAGUCUCAAAGCUAAAAAAAAUCAUAUUGUGUUUUUCAUACACCAAAAAACAAUGUUUUAGCAUGCAUUUUGGCUUUAAUAACCAGUUUAUUAAAGUCCAGAGAACAUUGACCAAAAUUUAAAAAACAACAAAAAUUUUAUUUUGUUUUGUUUUAAUAUCAGGGAUUAUGAAUUUAUACGUAAAACGUAUUCCCGAUAUUAAAAAGGUAUUUUCUUUUGACAACAUAGAACAGUUAGGUUUGUACCCGAUAAGAUAAGAACCUUCUUAUUGAAGAGGGCUUUUCUUGACCCUUUAGACGGACCAACAAUUAGAAAACACAACAAGACCAUAAUUUUUAUCAAACAUUAAAACAAUGCAGCUUACCUUAGGUAGGGCGUAGUGGGGGUGCUAAUACCUUCCCUUUACGCAACCAGUCUCCGUACUCGAUCUCUGAGACUAGUUAGGGUUCCUAGUGACCAAAAUACUAGGUGGCGACUCCCAGUCCAUAUUUUACUGAUAAGAGACAAGAAUUCCUUGUCUCUCCAUAUUUGCCAGACAGACCUUUACCAUUUUCGUUGUGAAUGGUGGACGAUCGUCGCGACGCCGCACACGUGCGACAAUAUGGUUGGUGGGGCAGUUUUUUCUGGUAGAGGUAACAACAAUACCACAUCAGGUACUUGCUAAUGCAGAAAUAACAAGGUUAUUGGCAGACUAUGCAGUUGCUUUUCAAGAACCAACAUCAUUGCCACCUACCAGGAAACAUGAUCAUAGAAUUCCACUAACAACAGGAGCUCAACCCGUCAAUUGCAAACCAUAUAAGAGCUCUUUCUUUCAAAAGGGGGAGAUCGAAAUGAUGGUCAAGGAGAUGCUACACAACAACAUAAUACAACCCAAUGUUAAUCCCUUUGCCUCUCCUAUUCUUUUGGUGAAGAAGAAGGACAACACAUGGCGUUUUUAUGUAGACUUUCGACUGCUGAAUGAAAAAAUUUCUUAGUAUUCUUUGACGAUAUUGUCAUUUAUAGUUCCUCUCUAAAAGAACACAUCAGUCAUUUGAAGCAAGUCUUGGACACUCUUAAAACUAACCAACUGUAUGCGAAGAGAUUCAAGUGCACAUUUGCAGAGCCGCAAGUAGAGUAUUUGGGGCAUAUAAUUUCAGCUGAAGGGGUAGCCACUAAUCCUAAGAAGAAACAGGCAGUACAGGAGUGGCCAAUUCCAAAAUCCAUUAAGAAGCUAAGGGGAUUCCUUGGCCUAGCUGGUUAUUAUUGAAAAUUCAUUAGGAAAUUUGGUAUUAUUAGCAAGCCUUUGACAAAUAUGCUCAAGAAGAAUAACUUCAUUUGGCAUGAAGGAGCACUAGAGGCUUUUCGCAACCUGAAACAAGCAUUGUGUAAGGCUUCAAUCAUGGCCUUGCCGGACUUUACCAAACCGUUUGUGCUGGAACCAGACGCUUGUGAUACUGGAAUUGGAGCAGUACUUAGCCAGGAAGGAAGACCAUUAGCAUUUUUUAGCAAGGCCUUGGGAGUCAAACACUUGAGGCUAUCCAUUUACGAGAAGGAAUACCUUGCUAUUCUAAUGGUAGUCGACAAGUGGAGGCAUUACUUGGAACAAGAUCAGUUUGUCAUUCAAACUUAUCAUAAAAGUCUGACGUAUCUACUUGAUCAGAAAAUUCACACUCCUAUACAAAAGAAGGGGCUGACUAAGCUGUGGGGGUUGAACUAUCGGAUCAGGUACAGAAAAGGAAAGAAGAAUAAGGCUGCAGAUGCCUUAUCUAGGAGGAAUAUGCAGGGGGAAGAAGGCUGUCAAGGAAAUAAAAUGGAAGGGGGAAGGUUCACCGCCAUAACACAAAUAACUCCCUCCUGGUAUGACAAGAUUUAUGCCUCUUAUAAAGACGAUGCCAAGUUGCAGGAUAUGAUGAGGAGUAAACUGGUAGAUGCUGCACAAUCUCUCAACUUUGUAUGUUGAAGGAGUGAUUAAAUAUAAGGGGAGAGUUAUUAUUGGAUCUGCAGGGUUAUUAAAGGAAGAACUCAUCAAGUCUACCUAUGAUUCCUACAUUGGAGGACAUGCUGGGAUCCAAAAUACAUACAGACGACUUAAGGCUCACUUCUACUGGCCUUCUAUGAGGAAAUUAGUGCAAGAAAUAGUUCAACACUGUGACAUUUGUAAACAAGCUAAGGCCGAAAGGGUCCCUUAUCUUGGAUUGUUACAGGCUCUUCAAGUUCGAAGUGGUUCUUGGCAGGAUAUAACCAUGGAUUUCAUAGAAGGAUUUCCAAGGUCAGAAGGCAAGGAUACCAUUAUGGUCAUUGGUGAUCGAUUUACGAAGUAUGGGCAUUUUAUCACAUUAGCCCAUCCCUUCACAGCUCAAGAGGUGGCUAAAUUGUUUCUGGAUCACAUUUAUAAGUUACAUGGCUUGCCUGCCACGAUAUUAACUGAUAGAGAUAAAAUUUUCACAAGCUUGUUCUGGAGAGAAUUGUUUAGACAUUUGGGCAUAAAGUUGUUACUAAACGCCUCCUAUCAUCCUCGAAUGGAUGGUCUGACCGAGAGGGUGAAUCAAUUCCUAGAGACUUACCUAAGGUGCAUCACUAUACAUUGUCCCAAAAGUGGAACACUUGGAUAUCGACAGCACUAUUUAACAAUUGUUUAGAAGGUAGAUAAAUUAUUUUGAAUUCACAAUUUAACAUGACAUGGAAGGAACAUGCAUUAGAGAGAGGAUCUAAUUUAACAUGUCGUACAAUAAUAACUUAAUCUAUAGCCUUUUUUAUUUAUUUUCUUUUUAAUUUUGGUACAAUAAAAAGGCUCUUCAAAUAUGUAGAAGAUAUAACAUAUUUAGAGUAUGAGAUAUUGAGGCCAGCUUUCAACUGCCAUGAUAUUUUCUAGUAAUUCCUUAACUUAUACUGCAUAUAGUUUAUUACUGAGUUGUUGCGUAAUUAAUUAAUUGGAAUAGAGGGCAUGUAUCCCAUCAAUAUCAUCCUGGGCGAGAUCUCUUUUCUUCUUUCCAGCUUCUAUCGUUGGAUACAUGAUGGCUUCGGGAUGAUCUGUACUAUGAUGAAGGCCAAGCAGAUGUCCUAUUUCAUGAACAGUAACGGAUUCCAGGUCAGUUUGAUCCAUUGCGGGGUCAGUGCUCCAGUUCUCGUCUGCAUCGUAAUGGAGACGGCCGUCUUGUGGAUAAAAAGCAUGAGCCAGUGUUUUCCCUGGUCCAUCAAAAGGAUACCGGUCCCCAUGAUCGCCGCUGUAGAACUCAAUUACAAUAUCUGCUGAUGCACCGGCAGUCGCCUCCUGGAAAGUGAAUUUAGAAACCUUUGCCCAUGUUUGGAAAGCUUUUGAGCAGACCGACCUCAAGGUGUCCGAACCAACAACUUGGACACCGGAGCCAAAUCUGUAGGUCAGAGCAUACUUGGAAGGUGGCCACUUUUCUGCCCCGAAAGCAUAAUGAGCCACCAUGUGGACCUUCUUGUGUUUUGAUUUAGUGCUGUUCGGUUUGGUGGACGGAGUGUUUAUGAUAUCAGGCGUUCCACAUCGUGGAAUCACCAUUUGUUGUAUGGUACUAGAGUCGAGGUUACCAGUAACAUUCAGAUGAAAAUAUUCUUGGUAUGUUUUGAGUGCUAGCUCCAAGUGGUCAUCAAAAUCACUGCUUGUGAGAGUGAUAUCAUCACUUGGGUAGUACCCAAGCUUUUUGAGAUAUUGUUUGAGCUCAAUAAGCCCUUGCACAGUUUGGCCCUUUUUAACCCCUUCCAGCCCUUGAAGGAAGCUGCUAAAAGAUUGCCGAUGCUCGGGUUUCAAAGUUCUUGCCAGACCUCUGAAGGACUGGAUAGAAAAGAUAACGAGGAUUGCUGAUAAAAGAUGGGAAAGAUUAGGAGCCAUAUAUUAUGUUGUUUCGGAGAAUGGCUUCAGACGUGGGUUGUGGCUUUCAAUUCUAGUAUCGGAUGGCUAUUUAUAGGCAUAGUAUGUUGUAUUGGCAUUAGGACUAUAGAAUAUGUCUUGAGAUUUACUACUAUCCUUAUUUUUGUUAAUUCUGAUUACUUAUUUUCAAAUAUUAAUUAUUUAGACUACAUUUUUCCUUCAAGCAUCUAAUUUAUUUAUUUUCUUUCGUAGUAAUCAAUGAAAUUACUAUCUGAAUAUUUGAGUUUAACUUUCAUUUAUAUAGUUAUUAUUAGAUAUCUCUAUCCAACAAAAUCAACAACUUCAUUGUGAUUGUUUUUUAUGUAGCUUUUGUGGUUGUGAUUUUAAAAAAGUGCGGUUAGCUGUGGUUAGUUAGAUUUAGAUACGUGUUUGGUAAAAAUUGUGAUUGAAGUUUAUGUGUAGUAAAAAAACAUACUAAAAUGUUUGGUGGAAGUGUGGUUGCAGUUGCUUUUUAAAGUGCUUUUUACUUGGAAAUGUAUCAAAAUAAUAUUUGUUUUAUUUUUUUAAAAUUAUUUUUGAUAUCAGCAUAUCAAAAUGAUCUGAAAACACCAAAAAAAUAUUAAUUUGAAGUAAAGAAAAAAAUAAAAAAUUCUUAAAUUUUUUCAAAAGCGUUUUUGAAACGCUAAAACAAACAGGGUUUUACAAAACUCAGUUAAAAAAGCAUGUAAAAACUGCUUCACAAAAACUGCGUUUCAAACUCAAUUUUUUAGUGGGUCUCGUAGUAUAAAACGCAGUUUGGUUUGUUACCAAACACCUUGCCGCGUUUAUUGCACCGCAAACACAAAAGCAGGUGUAAAACAAAUGCAACCUUCUACUAUUAAGAAAGUACAUCUCUAUUCCGUGUCUCAUAAAUUUAAAUUAUCAAAUGGCUAAUCCUAAAUUGAAUCAAAGUUUUAUUUAUCAUUUCAAUAAUUUUAUUUUUGUCUUUGUUAGUCUUGAAUGAUUAAAUAUAGUAUAUUCUUUUAAUAUAUCUUUUUAUUUAAUUCAUUUAAAUAAUGUUGUUGAGAAGGAGCGCUCAAAAAAUAAAUGAUCAUGGGUUUCCACAUGUAAACCACACAAAAUACAUACAGUAGAGGUGAUGAUCUGAAAAGUCUGUAGUCUGUUAAUAGUGUGUAGACGACCCAAAAAGACAAGCCAUAAGAUGAAGGAGUGUCAUGGGACAUGUCCUAGAAACCAAAGAAGAUGGUGCAUAAUAUUCUUGGGCCUGGUAUCUGGAAGUGCCUCCCAAGAGAUCCAAAAGAGAUGCUUUCAAAUCAUUAUCCACACCUUAUAUGAAAACAUGACUCUUCUCUAGGUUGAUCAUCAGCCUUGAUAACACAACAAAGUCAUCCAGAGCCCUCAUCACAACACCCACUGAAUUGGUGUCUGCCUGACAAAAUAUCAUAAGGUCAUCAACAAAGAAUAAAUGAGUAAUACUCUCGUGUUGACACCUCUAGUGAUAGUGGUAUCUCUGGUUCUAAGCAGCCUUUCUAAGAAUACCAUCAAGCCCUUCAUAGCCAGCACAAACAAAGUUAGCUACACGCAUACUUUGGUUACGAGACAGCUUAGGGGCAUACAAUAUGUGCCAAGGACAACUAAACUAUCACAAUUCUCUGGGUUAUUCAAAGACCAAUCCGCUUUAGAAGUUAUGGAAAACAUCAAACAAGAUUGGAAGCUUUUGGUAUCGAUAAAAAAAAAAGAAUUAGAUGGUUUGAGAGAUCUAGUCACUAGUGAAAAAUACCCGAGGUGGAGAAAUCUAUCAUUGGUGACUUUCUUCAUGAAUCUCGAAUUCAAAACGGAAACUUCACAAACCGCUGAACUAAAUAAGAGAAAAAGAAUUAACAACGAGGAAGAGUUGAGAGAACAACUGGAAAAGCUCUAUGUAGAAUUGGGCACCAAUAAAGCCCUCAAGAUCUCCCUCGAGGAACAACUCUUCAUUGAAGAUAAACUGAGGAAGUUUAUGGAGUAACAGUUGAUGAACUGACCCUUAAAUGUAAAAGCUUUCACUGAACAUGAAUGAAAAGGGCAUGGACCCAAUCUUCACAGCAACAUUUUGUAUUGAUGAGUAUAAAUUUAUUAGGAAUUGGCUCAAAUCAAAUUGUCUCGACAGUUAUAAAAGGAUAAAAAUCUUACCCAAAUGAUAGCAUAUAUCAGUCAGAAAUUUGGCUAAUCCACAUUCAAAUAUGCAUCAUCAUGCAUAAUUAUACAUCCAUAUGCACUUGUGUUUAUGAAUUUCAAAAUAUGCCUAACAGGUAUUUGAAAUUUAGGUUCCCCUACUAAAAUCUACAAUACUAGGUUUUGUAAAAGGAUGGAAAAUGAUGAAAGGGCUCACUACCAAAAAGAGUUGGAUGAUGUUAAGAAUAACAUGGCUCGGGUGACUAGUUUACUCGACCAACUCUUGUAAGCACAGUCAGGGGAAGGGACAUCCAGUCAGCAUCCGACUCUAUAAUCACCGCUAGUAGCUCUAGUUAUCAUUGACCCACAAAACUUGGAAACAAAUCCCACCGCUAGACCACAAGGAACAAAAAACAUUCCAAUUACUCACCCAAUUAUGCCUGCUCAAGUACUAACCAUAAUAGAUCUAACUAAAGGGGAAUCCCAUGGGGUUAAAUCUUUUGGUCACCCUAAACAAGAUAAGUGGGUUGCCUGGGAGGAGAGGUUUAGAGUUGUUGAGGGAUUUGACGUCUAUGACUUAGUUAGAGCAGCUGAGAUAUGCCUAGUACCAAAUGUAGUGGUACCCAAAGAGUUUAGAGUGCCAGAAUUUGUCAAGUACACGGAGUUAGAAUGCCUUAAUACACACCUGAGGUCAUAUUACAACAAAAUGACGGAGGUCAUAUAUAAUGACAAGUUGCUCAUCCAUUUCUUCCAAGAAACUUGACUAGUUUCACGUUAAGCAGAAAAUAUAAGAAUAAUAUAUAUGUCAAGUGUAUGGAAAGUAAUUUUAAUAAAUACAAGACUAUUCAGACAUCAUAUUUUUAGGUAAAUAAAGGAUGAAAAACAUCUUCUUUUUAUUGGCUUCAUUCUUGUGAUAUAUUACUUGAUAGGUUAGAACAUGUAAAUUAUAAUUCUAUAUACAAGUCAAUUAAUUUUGAAUUAUUAUUAAGUAUUGUUUUUUUUAAAAUAAAGUUUAUAUUGAAUCAAAAUUCAUAAAAAUUUUGGUAUCAAAUCAAGUCUCCUUCUUGAUCUUCCUCUCCAUCUCUUUGUUGAUGUAGAUUUUUAUUGUCCGACAAAAAUAGAAUGUAAGUUACUCAAUGUUUUAAAAAUUAUUAUUUAAUUACUAAAAUACACAUUAUUACUUAUAAUAACCGGUUAAAAAGGUACCUUAAUGAAUAAAAAGGACAUAAUAUAAUACCUAAUUAAUUAUAUUAUUUCAAUUUUCCAGGGUAUCACACUAGUUUCGAUUAAGAUUUUAGAUGACAACCUUACUCAAAUUAAGAUCUAUAUAUGGCAAUAUAAAUUUCCGGAAGUAUAUUCAAAAUAAUCAUCAAGUAAGAGGCCUUAGUUUCAUAACCAAAAGAACCGGUCUUCUUAUCAACAGCAGAAGCAAUCCUUCUUUUCUUUUCUUUUUUCCUUUUCUAUUUAUAAGCAAAAUAGUACCAGGAACGCCUAUGAAGAGGCAGCAGGAAAUUGUAGCUAAAGAAGAUUAAAAACAAAUCACACUAUAUUACUAUCAAAACUCAUGCCACUGCUUCUAAAGUGCAAGACCUCAUCAGAAGCAGAUACCAAGACCAAUCAACUCGAGAAAAUUCAAUCCUAUGGGAGCAUCUUGGGUUUUCCUUUAUGAUGGCUAUCGGAUGUCCACAGCAUUACAACUGGAGUUUUGCUCCGCAUCAAACAACUCAUCACGUCGGUAUUAUGUAUUCAUCCUCGCCGGGCCAAGGCAAAAGUGUCGUCUUCAUGGGACAGAUUUCUCUUGUAAGGUAUGGAAAAUAUCGGCAUCAAUUCCAUCUCCAUCUCCGAUCUUUCCUUGCAUCAAAUGUUUUGUUUGAUCUUUUGGGCCAGGAGUUUGGGAUCCAAUGAUGUAAGGGUAAAAUAAUGAUUCGUGGUCAUCAGCAAGUCUAUGGGAUUUGGUAUUCAGACUUCAUAUAUUUACAAGUAUCCUCCGACAACUCUUGAUAUCUCGUCGAUGCAGUCAUGGCAACAGGAAGUCUAUGGGUUUUGGCCGUAAAUGGCGCCGAGAGAGCCCUACCAUCAAAUGCAUUAUCGUCUUCAGCUUCAUUAUCGUUUGUCCUUUCCAACACGUACCAAAUGGUUUGCCCUCCGAUUCAGGUUGAUGCAUCUUUCAGUCAGCAUUAAGGCUCGGUAAUUAUAUUUCCAAUGAUAAAGAAACUUUUGGAUCUAUGCCCACUCCAUAAAGAUUUUAUUGUUAUUGGUGAGAUAACUAGAUUAAACUUCUUCAAUCUUUAUAUUUUCUCUUGAAGUGAAAGCUAAGGAUAUCUACAAAUAAAAGAAAUUCCAAACCUAACAAAAAAUUGAAGUGUACAUUAAACUUAUAAUUGAAUUUGGCCUUGUUGCUUAAAUUCUGAUUCUUUAUAUAUGAUUUUAUUGAUAUUUUAUUGCAAAAUGGAUUAUUAAAUCUCAUCAUUUUAUCAUCAUUAAUUCUUUUUAUUAAAAAGAAUAUUUUACGGCCAAUUCAUUUCAUGACAAUGAAUGAAUUUAUUUAACAUAUUAACGAUUUUUACUUUAUUGAAAAUAUAUUUUAAUAAAAAAAUUUAAUAGAUAGUUAUGAUGUUAUAUUAUUAUGAAAUAUAAAUAUAAAUAAAAAAACUCAAAGAAGGUAAGUUUUAUCACUCAACAAAUUUAAAAUGGAUAAAAAUAACAAUUGGAGUGUGAAUAGCUAGUGCUUUCAUUCUUUUUAUGAGAAUUAUGGUGUACUUUGAAUUGGUUUCAAAAUCUAAUGUAGAAACUCCCUUCAUACUAUGAAAUAAUUUGUCUUUGUCAAUUGAAUAUAAAAUUAAAAAAUAGCAAAAGAUAUUACCUUUGGAAACUAAGAGGAUAAUCUUUAGAGAAGUCCCCCUUCCCUCUCAUCAAAUUAUAUUAAAAAAUUAAGGAAUCAAAUUUUAAUAUCUUUUAUAGAAUUUGAUAGGGAAUUAGGGCCCAUCUUCAAGAUAGAGAUUAAAGAGAAAAUCAUUCUUAAAAAAUGAAUAUCUCCACUUUAGAAAUAAGUGUUUUGAUUUAUAUCUCCUCUUGAUAUCUAUUUUUCUCUGUAAAAUAAAAAUUAGUAUUCAUUAGUUACUACUGAAGUAACACAUGAAAUAUUUUAGUGAAUUAGAUCAAUUAAUCUAAAUUUCUAUAUUUAAAUAUUGCACUUGACCCAAUUGCAAUUGUGAUUUGAUUUCAGUAUAAUUGACGAAACCCAAAUGUGCUCAUUAAUUGUUAACAUCGAAAGUUUAAAAAAGUUGAAUGUGUUAAAAUCACUCGAAACCUAUAUAAAUAGAUACAUAUGAUUAAAAUGAAAAAACGAAGAGACACAAAAUAUUUAUAAUUCUUCCAAAUAAGUUUUAUUUAAUUCAACAAUUUGUUUAACAAUACUAAUGAUGUUGUUGAGUAGGAUUAUAGUUGAUAAUAAUAAAUAAUUGAUGAAAUCUUCAUGUUAAAACAAUACUAAUGACGAGAGGGAAGAUUGAAAAACAGAGAGGAAUUGUUUUGAGAUAUAGAGACGAGAAAAGAGAGAAAAUAGAGUAGAAGAGAGAAGAACCUCCACCGUCUGCCUUCUUCAAUAUUGCCGCCAUGAGAACCGCCUUGAGCCACUGUCGACAGCAGCUCUGUAAACCCCCGGUUAUAAUUUUUCUGGGUAUUUAAAAGAUGAGAAAUUUAACCAAUAGUAAAAGGGGUUAAAUUAAAUUAAAGAAACCUAAAUCAAGAUAAAAAUAGUGAAAUUAAUGAAAUGAAAAGUCAAUAUAGUACUAAAUUAUUGAAAAGAAAAACAUUUGUGAGGACAAAAUGAAUAUGUAAAAUCAAGAGAGGUCAAUAUUCAAAUAACAGAAGGUUGGGAGUUUAUGUACAAAUGAUAAAAAGGGGUGGGGAUAAAUGUGCAAUUAACAAGAUGUUAGAACUAUAAAUAUCAUUCUAUUUUCUCUCUUGGAGGAACUGACAAGAGUAAGAGAGAGUUUAGAGAGAGGCUGGACAGAAGACAUAUUGAUGGCAGAACAUCCGACAGCUAUAACUCCACCUUCCACCGUUGGAUCAGAACGAUAUUCAGAUAUAUUAUUCUCAUCCAUGUCAUGUACAUUUUCACUAUAGGGAUUUUCUAUAUGAGUCUCCGGUUGAGAGAUAUCGAGGGGGGAAAUAUCUGGGAAAAUACACUUCUGGACAAUCUUCUUUGCUGUCUGUUUUCUCUUUCGGCCACUGUUGGAUUAGGCUAUAAUUUGGAUAUGUUGUUCUUCCUGAUUCUGUCUAGACUCUGAACGGUGGAGAUCUGAAACAAACAUUCGGUAUAGAAGUUGUGUAUCUCACACAGUAGGUCUGCAAGUUUGAAGUCAGUUCGGUUAAACCCAUAUUUCUAGAAAUCGCACCAUUUGAUGAAGUUAAUAUUUGGAUAUGUUAUACUCAUAAUAAUGCAUUAUAACUUGACAGUAUGGAUUGUUUGGAAUAUUAUUCGUUUGUUAUUUAUGGUUGAUUGAAACUGUUUUCAAGGAUUGUGUUUAGAAGAAUAUUGUUCGGAAAGUUUGUAAAAUCGAUAAGAAUGUUUUAUUUUGACGUUAAGAGGGAAGAUUGAAAUAAAUAAGGUAAAUUGGCUCUUAAAAAGAUAUUUUUUUGACACUCUUAAAUGAUAUGUGAUAUGGCCAGGGGUUGAGAUAAAAGAGAAAAAGUUAAAUUAUGGAUGUUGUGUGUAAAUGAAAAGGUUGAUGAAUCUGGACAGAUUCGUCUCCUGACUUUUAAAGAGAAUUUGAGUAGGAGGAUGAGAGAAUUAGGAUCAAGUUUCUUCAUAGUAAUUGUAGUUUUGGAUGUUAGCUAACUAAGAAAAAUUGGUCUUGCUCAAUAUGGAGCUGUAGAACCCUAGCUAUGGGUCAUCAACUGAGAUUGGGUCCUGAUAGACCCUGUAGGGUAGUGUUUGUUGAUGAGCAAUUUUGACUAUUUCAGAGGCAGAACUGGGUUCUCCUUACUCAGAGAACUUGUAGCCUCGUGUAUUAGCUUUCCAACGAGACUAAUCUCGCUUGAAACAGAGUUCUAUAACUUUAGAUAUAGUUAAAAAUAUGAUGAGUGUUCAGACAAUGACAGUUGGACAAUAACAGUUCAAUAUCUAGACAGUAACAGUUAGAUAGUAACAAUUGGAAAUUUGACAGUAACAGUUCAAAGUUAGACAGUAAUAAUAAACUUUGACGUGAAUACUAUAUAAAAGAAUUGAGUCAUACGAACACUUGCACAUUGAGAUACUAACUCUAAAAAUAUACAUGAUAUAUGUAUGUAUGUUAUUAUGAGGAAAUGAACAUGCAUAAAAAGUAACAUAUGAGUAAUGGAUGAUUAUGGAUUCUCUGUAAUAUUGGACUGAAGGAAUGAUAACUAUGGUUGGAUAAAGGAUGACAACAUUAAUGGGUGUAAUGAGAAAAACAUGAGAUAUAAAGAAAGAAAUGAUUGAAAGAAAGAUUUAUUAGCUAUUGAUAUGAUUAUUAUAAAACAUAUCCUUGAAUGAGGAAAAUUUAUGAGAUGAGUUUGUGACUAUAGGAAGGACCACCUGUGUGGUGCAACAGCAGCAACAUGGGAGCACAAGUAGAGCUUCUACUGCAGGUAGGUGACUUUCACCUUCCUUUUAAAUAAUGUUGAAUAAUGAAAAUACUUUAUCAUGAAUAUUACUGUAUUGUGUUAAUUCAUAUACCAGAUUGUCAAAUGCUUAAAUGUAAACAAUUUAUUAGCUUCGGCUAAUGGCAUUCGAAGGGAUGACCGGGACAAACGAGUGAUUAGCUUUGGCUAAUGGCAUCCGAUAGGAUGGCCGGGACAAACGAAUGAUUAGCUUUGGCUAAACAAAUGAAUGAUUAGCUUUGGCUAAUGGCAUUCGAUGGGAUGACUGGGACAAACGAAUGAUUAGCUUUAGCUAAUUGCAUCCGAAGGGAUGGCCGGGACAAAUGAAUAAUUAGCUUUGGCUAAUUGCAUCUGAAAGGAUGACUGGGACAAACAAUUGAUUAGCUUUGGCUAAUGGCAUCCGAAUGGAUGACGGGGAAAAUUGAAUGAUUAGUUUUGGCUAAUGGCAUCCGAAUGGACGACCGGGACAAAUGGUUGAUUAGCUUUGGCUGAUGGCAUUCGAAGGGGAUGGCCGGGGUGAGUGAACAGUUAACCUCGACAAAUGAUGUCUUAAAAGAAUGGCUGGAUUUAAGAUUAUGGUUGAUUGUAAGAAUUGGUGCAUAUAUAUGUACUGCAAGUUGUGUAUACCAAGAACAUGAAGGAACUACAAAUGUCACGCUUCAAACAUGAGAUAAUGUUAAUGCUUCAUUAAAUUGCCAGACCAUUUUCUUCUUAUUAUUAUUAUUAAGUAAUUGCAUUCUUGUAAAUGUUUUGUACUGCAGUAGGGACGUCAUACCAACAAGGUGCCUAGAAAACGCAAUACACGGGAACCUACUUUUGCAAGGAAUCAUGUAGUUGCAUUCUAAAUCAUGAUGUAUUUUAUAUGAAUCAAUGUACUGAAUGUAUAACUAUUAUUAGAUCAUUUUAGAUUAAAUUCAUGAUGACUAUUUGUAGGAUAGAAUACAAACUCAUAUCUAUACAUGUAUAUUUUAAAUGCGAACUUAUAAUCAUGCAAACAUAAUAUUAUGAGUUUAUGUAAGAUUCACUUUUAACUGAAAAUGUUGAUUGUUGUUGAUGUAUGGAUUGUAUAUUGAUGAUGUGAAGGGAACAUGUUCGUCGAUUACCAACACGAUGUGUGUCAAGUACAAAAAAAAUAAAAAUUUACUGUUGUUUUGGGCUUGAAAAGUCGGGUUGUUACAAGCUCCACCACCAGCAGAAACAGAGGAGAAACCGAAACAAAACAGAGAAAAGGAGAAAGAACAGGAGGGAGGGCAGAAACAAAGGGCAAGGAAAACACAGAAAAAAGAACCACCAACCACCCUCAGCUCCCCAGUCUGCCACCGUUAGCGCCAAUAACAACGCCAUCGACAGUAGCUCCACCAUCGUCAGAGACCGAAGAAGAAAUGUAGAAGCAGGAGAAUAGAAACAAGGAGAAAAGGAAAACAUAGGAAAACAGAGAGAAAAACAAAGAAGAACCACCGUUUGGAAUCAUCCGUCCUCUGCGCCAUUCUUCCUCAACACUGCCACCGCUUGCCACAGUCAACACCAGCACCGCCACCACUGCCAGGUCAACUUCUUCUUCUUCGUCGUCCUCGGCUGCUCCACUAUUUUGCAUGAACAGUAAAGAGUCCUCCAUUUUUCACUAGGCCAGACAAGUUCGGCCCAACUCAAAAUGAGUGGGUCGAGUCCGGCUCAGUCCAAAUUUUUUUUAAAAAAAAAAUCAUUUCGAAAAUUUGUGAUUUUUCUGCAUAUUUUUCUGUCCAUUUUGAUUAGUAUCGGUUUGUAUUUUAAUAUCAUAAGGAUACGAAUCUGGUUUUCAUCGAAACGUUGCAAAAAAUAAAAAAAAUAUCUUGUUUUCAUGCAUAUGACCAAGUCUUAAUACGACAAAAAAUCAUAUCGUAUUUUCAUACGACAAAAAAUCAAAAAUAUGUGUUAGCAUGUAUUUUAGCUUUAAUAACCAGGUUAUUAAAGCCACGAGAACUUGGUCAAUAUUCCAAAAAAUUUCAAAAAAAUCAUUUUGUUUUCUUUUAGUAUCCGGGAUUACAAAUUUAUACAUACAACGUAUUCCCAAUAUUAAAAAGAUAUUUCUUUUUAUUAACGUUAGAACGGUUAGGUUUUACCCGAUAAGAUAAAGAUAUGCUUACCGAGGAUGACUUUUCUUAAACUAUAGACAGACCAACAUAUAGACGUUAGCAUAUAUUAGACAAUAAAACAAUACAACUUACCUUAGGUAGGGCGUAUUUGAGUUGCUAAUACUUUCACUUUACGCAACUAGUCCCCGUGCCCGAUCUCUGAGACCAGUUAGGGUUCCUAGUGACCAAAACACUAGGUGACGACUUUCAUUCCAUCAUUCCACCGAUAAAAGACAAGAAUUCUCUGAGUGGACAAUCAUCGCGACGCCGCAUACGUGCGACAACAUGAAAGUCAUAUUGUAUGGAAUUUGUAUGAUGUGUUUCUUGAGAGAAAGCUUGUAUUAUUCAAAAUAAACUUUUAUUAAGUGUAAAUUAUUUAAAAUAAUAAUAAUUUUAUUCAGAACCUUUAUAAAUCUAUACAUAUAAUUAAAUCUAAUCAUAUAAUUUUUUUAAAAAAUUAUUUGAUUGCUGUCUUGCGCUUCUAUUAUCGUGGAAUUAAGUAAAAUAUGAUUUUAUAAAAUAAAGUUGUUAGACCUCACUGAGUCAUUUGUUUGGCAUGUAUACUGGAGUUGAUUCAAGAUAUCAUCGUCUUAAUAUUUGAAGAACAAUGUUAAAAUGUUGAUGUCUUCAAUUCUUUCUAGUCAAACUAGAUUUUUACUAGGUCGAUUAGAUCAAACUUUAACUUACUUAGUUGAUUGGAUCAUAUAAAAGUAAAAUCUAACCCAAUUUAGCUUAACACCUAAGCUAGGAGAGGGCUAAACUCAAAAUGUCUAUGAUUUUAAUUGAAAUUCAUUAAAACAUUAACAACACCUGUAAAUACAUUUUUCUUUUUGCCAUCAAAUUUAAUUUUUUAUCAUACCUACAAUGUAGCUUGGUUAAGUUAAUUAUGGAUCAUCUUACUACUUUUGUUUUUCAAAUUUUGUCAAGAAAUACUGCUAAAACACAUAUUAGCAACAAUUAUAUAUAUAUAUAUAUAUAUAAAUUAAUCCUACCUCAUGCAAAACACGUGCCACUAGCUAGGUUAAUUUAAAGCACCACUUGCUUUGCGGUAUUGGAGAGAAUGUAGUCAUCAUAGAUUCUGUUUGGAAAACUGAUCUUCGAAGAGAUUAGGAGCUGGAUAUUGUCUUCCUCUUCCUCUUUUUUAAUAUUUAUCUAUAUCAUAUUCCUCGUCUUAUUCUUCACCACUGUAAAGGGAUAUUUGAAAGGAAAAAAAAAUUGUAAAGUUUUAUUGUGUUUUUACUUUCCCGUCAUAUAUAGUUUUAAAAAAUACAUUUAAAAUCCUAGGUCAAAUAAAAAUUUAAAAAUAAUAAUAAGAAAAUAUUAUCAUAUAUAAUAUAACACAAAUAAUAACUAUAACUAUGAUAUCAAUGUUCACUAGGGUUCCAGAUUAUAGCUAUUUGAUUAUAGAAUUAAAAAGUGAGUCAGCCAGAAGGUAGUUAAUUGGCAUUUCACAGACAUAAAAUGGGUGUUUAUAAGUGAGGUGGUAAUUAUUUUUUAAAGUGUUUUUUGACUUGAAAAUGCAUCAAAAUAAUAUUUUUUAUUUUUAAAAGAUUAAUUUUGACAUUAACACAUCAAUAAUUUGAAGUAAAGAAAAAAAUAAUUUUUUUUUUUUAAAAACCUUUUGAAAUAUAAAAACAAAUAGCCAUAAUAACAAGCAAAACAUCAGAUGCAGUUAAUGAUUCUUAUAAGAUUUAAUCAAUUAUUUUUGGAACACGACAGUUAAAACCUUUGAAAUUGAAGCAUGCACCAUAAAAUGAUGAUGAUGGCCUUGCUGAACUGAACCAGAUUGCCUCAGGUUGUGGCUUACGUCGCCUUGCGUUGUGAUAGGAAAGACGUCUACGACAGCUUCGCUUCUUGUCAUCAAACUCUGACAAUUCACGGAACCUAAACAAAUUUUGCAUCCUAAAUGCAGCAGCAGCAGCAGACUUUAGCCGUAGAUAAUAACAUCAGAAAGCUUAGCAAAAGCAACAAAGCUAAAUCAUGGAGAUUAAAAAUGAAUAAUUACUAAGAAUUCCCCAAGAAUCAAGAUUCAUGAGAGUGUUACGUAUCUGGAUGACAGAAUAGUGGGAGAUGUUGCAACAAGAAAAAGACUACUAUGGGGAGGCAAGAAGGAGCGGGAAGUAGAGACGCCAGGAGCACACAACCUGCUGUUUAGUUAUUAAUAUUCUUUUAGUUAGUUGGAGUACAUUCGGUUAGCAGAGUUUGUUAAUCACUUUGAGUUAGUUGGAUUAGUACAAUUUCGAUUUCAUUUCUCUCUUCUCUGCUAAUAUCAUUCUGCUUCUUAGCCUCAUCUUCUUGAUUUGUUAAGUGAUCUUAACAAUUGAUAUCAGAGCCUUAAGAUCUAACACUAUGAUGAAAAAUCAUAAGCUGAAAAACAUUGAAGAACACUGCAAGAAAUUGGAGGAGCGAAUGCAAAUCCUUCAACAAGAACUCUAAGAAUCCCUGGUCGAUCAACAAAACAAAUGGCAGGAACAACUCGGUGAACAAUUAAAGUUGGAAGACUAAUUAGAUUAGUGCUCAAAUUGAAACACUGUCGAAUCAAUUUCAAACAUUCCUUGCUCAUCAGAUGACAGGGAAGGAUGUGGGAAGCACUUCUAGAGGAAUCUUACAGGCACUAGCAAGCGGCAGUCUUGAAGGAAUGUUAUCAAGGGGAAAAGGUCCUGCUAGGGGAGAUCAAACUUAUGGCCAGGAGCAGUAGAGAGUGGUGCAUAAUGCUGCUCUUCCAAGGAUGGAUCUGACAACAUUUCGAGGAGAUAAUCCUAGGGGUUGGUUAAGGAGGUGCAAGAAGUUUUUUAGCCUCAACUCAACUCCAUUUCAGUAGUGGGUAGAACUAGCAUCUAUUUACUUGGAAGGAAAGGCAUAAAUCUGGUUUGAAGGCUAUAUGCGUGGGGUAAUUCACUGGUUACUAUGCGCACAACACAGUAACAAGCUAUCUAUGGGCCGAUUCUGGCCUAGUUUCUUUUGGGCUAGGCCAGGCCCAGUUUUUUUGGGAUUUGUACUAUUUCCUCGCGUAUUUUUAUGCCUUUUUUAUUAAUUAGUAUUGGAAUAUAUUUUUAUGUCAUUAAAAAUACAAAAUCUGGUAUUAAAAUACCCGGUUUUCGUCAAAACUUCCAAAAAUACAAAAAAAAUUGAAAAUAGAAAAAAUGUUUUUGUGCAUACGGCCAAGAGUCUCAAAGCUAAAAAAAAUCAUAUUGUGUUUUUCAUACACCAAAAAACAAUGUUUUAGCAUGCAUUUUGGCUUUAAUAACCAGUUUAUUAAAGUCCAGAGAACAUUGACCAAAAUUUAAAAAACAACAAAAAUUUUAUUUUGUUUUGUUUUAAUAUCAGGGAUUAUGAAUUUAUACGUAAAACGUAUUCCCGAUAUUAAAAAGGUAUUUUCUUUUGACAACAUAGAACAGUUAGGUUUGUACCCGAUAAGAUAAGAACCUUCUUAUUGAAGAGGGCUUUUCUUGACCCUUUAGACGGACCAACAAUUAGAAAACACAACAAGACCAUAAUUUUUAUCAAACAUUAAAACAAUGCAGCUUACCUUAGGUAGGGCGUAGUGGGGGUGCUAAUACCUUCCCUUUACGCAACCAGUCUCCGUACUCGAUCUCUGAGACUAGUUAGGGUUCCUAGUGACCAAAAUACUAGGUGGCGACUCCCAGUCCAUAUUUUACUGAUAAGAGACAAGAAUUCCUUGUCUCUCCAUAUUUGCCAGACAGACCUUUACCAUUUUCGUUGUGAAUGGUGGACGAUCGUCGCGACGCCGCACACGUGCGACAAUAUGGUUGGUGGGGCAGUUUUUUCUGGUAGAGGUAACAACAAUACCACAUCAGGUACUUGCUAAUGCAGAAAUAACAAGGUUAUUGGCAGACUAUGCAGUUGCUUUUCAAGAACCAACAUCAUUGCCACCUACCAGGAAACAUGAUCAUAGAAUUCCACUAACAACAGGAGCUCAACCCGUUAAUUGCAAACCAUAUAAGAGCUCUUUCUUUCAAAAGGGGGAGAUCGAAAUGAUGGUCAAGGAGAUGCUACACAACAACAUAAUACAACCCAAUGUUAAUCCCUUUGCCUCUUCUAUUCUUUUGGUGAAGAAGAAGGACAACACAUGGCGUUUUUGUGUAGACUUUCGACUGCUGAAUGAAAAAAUUUCUUAGUAUUCUUUGACGAUAUUCUCAUUUAUAGUUCCUCUCUAAAAGAACACAUCAGUCAUUUGAAGCAAGUCUUGGACACUCUUAAAACUAACCAACUGUAUGCGAAGAGAUUCAAGUGCACAUUUGCAGAGCCGCAAGUAGAGUAUUUGGGGCAUAUAAUUUCAGCUGAAGGGGUAGCCACUAAUCCUAAGAAGAAACAGGCAGUACAGGAGUGGCCAAUUCCAAAAUCCAUUAAGAAGCUAAGGGGAUUCCUUGGCCUAGCUGGUUAUUAUUGAAAAUUCAUUAGGAAAUUUGGUAUUAUUAGCAAGCCUUUGACAAAUAUGCUCAAGAAGAAUAACUUCAUUUGGCAUGAAGGAGCACUAGAGGCUUUUCGCAACCUGAAACAAGCAUUGUGUAAGGCUUCAAUCAUGGCCUUGCCGGACUUUACCAAACCGUUUGUGCUGGAACCAGACGCUUGUGAUACUGGAAUUGGAGCAGUACUUAGCCAGGAAGGAAGACCAUUAGCAUUUUUUAGCAAGGCCUUGGGAGUCAAACACUUGAGGCUAUCCAUUUACGAGAAGGAAUACCUUGCUAUUCUAAUGGCAGUCGACAAGUGGAGGCAUUACUUGGAACAAGAUCAGUUUGUCAUUCAAACUUAUCAUGAAAGUCUGACGUAUCUACUUGAUCAGAAAAUUCACACUCCUAUUCAAAAGAAGGGGCUAACUAAGCUAUGGGGGUUGAAUUAUCGGAUCAGGUACAGAAAAGGAAAGAAGAAUAAGGCUACAGAUGCCUUAUCUAGGAGGAAUAUACAGGGGGAAGAAGGUUGUCAAGGAAAUAAAAUGGAAGGGGGAAGGUUCACCGCCAUAACACAAAUAACUCCCUCCUGGUAUGACAAGAUUUAUGCCUCUUAUAAAGACGAUGCCAAGUUGCAGGAUAUAAUGAGGAGUAAACUGGUAGAUGCUGCACAAUCUCUCAACUUCAUAUGUUGAAGGAGUGAUUAAGUAUAAGGGGAGAGUUGUUAUAGGAUCUGCAGGGUUAUUAAAGGAAGAACUCAUCAAGUCUACCUAUGAUUCCUACAUUGGAGGACAUGCUAGGAUCCAAAAUACAUACAGACGACUUAAGGCUCACUUCUACUGGCCUUGUAUGACGAAAUUAGUGCAAGAAAUAGUUCAACACUGUGACAUUUGUAAACAAGCUAAGGCCGAAAGGGUCCCUUAUCCUGGAUUGUUACAGGCUCUUCCAGUUCCAAGUGGUUCUUGGCAGGAUAUAACCAUGGAUUUCAUAGAAGGAUUUCCAAGGUCAGAAGGCAAGGAUACCAUUAUGGUCAUUGUUGAUCGAUUUACGAAGUAUGGGCAUUUUAUCACAUUAGCCCAUCCCUUCACAGCUCAAGAGGUGGCUAAAUUUUUUCUGGAUCACAUUUAUAAGUUACAUGGCUUGCCUGCCACAGUAUUAACUGAUAGAGAUAAAAUUUUCACAAGCUUGUUCUGGAGAGAAUUGUUUAGACAUUUGGGCAUAAAGUUGUUACUAAACACCUCCUAUCAUCCUCUAACGGAUGGUCUGACCGAGAGGGUGAAUCAAUUCCUAGAGACUUACCUAAGGUGCAUCACUAUACAUUGUCCCAAAAGUGGAACACUUGGAUAUCGACAGCACAAUGGUGGUACAACAGUAGCUUCCACUCGGCUAUCAACAUGUCCCCAUUGCAAGCAUUAUAUGGAUAUGAACCCCCGGUAAGGGAGAUGGUACUCAUUGAGGCUACUCAAGUAGCUAUUGUGGAAGAAUGGAUGCAGAGAAGGCUUAAUAUGGAUCAGUUGAUCAAGGGGCUGUUGGAGGGGGUGAGGAAUAGAAUGAAACAGGUGGCAGAUAGGAGGUGUUCGGAAAGGACAUUCAUGGUGGGAGAUUGGGUCUUCCUAAAAAUUCAGCCUUACAGGCAGGGCAGUGUCAUGUACAGGAAGAAUUUCAAGCUAAAUCCCAGGUAUUAUGGCCCUUACCAAGUUAUUGAACGGAUUGGAGCUGUAGCUUACAAGCUCAAGUUACCAGAGGGGCGUGCAGUGCAUCCUGUGUUCCAUGUAUCGCUAUUAAGAAAGAAGGUGGGAGAGGUGGCCAUAGUUUCCCAAGCCCUGCGGAUCGUAGAUGAAGAAGGCAGAGUUAAGGUUUAUCCAGUCACCAUACUAGAAAGGAAGCUUAUGAAGAAAGAUAAUAGAGCCGUGGUGGCAGGCUUAAUUCAAUGGUCUAACUCAUUUCCUGAAGAUGCAACAUGGGAAGAAUUGACAGAAAUACAAUUGCAAUUUCCAGAAUUCAGUAUUGACCCUUAAUUGUCAAGAUUGUAGAUUCUUGAGCCAAGAAUCUUUUCGAGGAAGAGUUAUUGUUACGUAUCUGGAUGACAGAAUAGUGGGAGAAGUUGCAACAAGAAGAAAACUACUAUGGGGAGGCAAGAAGGAGCGGGAAGUAGAGACGCCAGGAGCACACAACCUACUGUUUAUUUAUUAAUAUUCCGUUUGUUAGUUGGAGUACAUUUAGUUAGAGUUAGUUGGAUUAAUCUGUUAGUAGUCAAUGUGGAUUACUAUGAAAGCACAUUGUAUGGAUUAUAUUGGAUAUGAAUAGAUUGCAGUCCAAUUUUGAUCUCAUUUCUCUCUUCUCUGCUAAUAUCAUUCUGCUUCUUAGCCUCAUCUUCUUGAUUUGUUAAGUGAUCUUAACAGAGAGAACCUGCCUGCUGCACUUUUUUUUGGAUUCCUGAAAAGGAUUUGUGUUCAAGAAUUCAUUAUGAAUGAUAAUUUUGUUAUUUUGAGAUUCCAAAGAGUUUUUAGUCAUUAAAAUAAUAAACUUGUAAAUAAGGAGAUAUAUUUUGUUGGCUUUUUUUUUUAAAAGGAUAUUAAAGGUAAAUGCACAUAUAAAAUUUAUGAUAUAAAAUAUAAUUUUUCAAACCAUAAUAAAAAAUAUAUAUAAUUGCGACCAAACCUAAGAAAAUCUUUUGUGAUUAUUGGUAAGAAUAAAUAAGAGCAUGGAUUAAUGGUAAAAAGAGAAUCACGUAUUAAACACAAAAGAUAAAUUAUUUUGAAUUCAACAAUUUAACAUGACAUGGAAGGAACAUGCAAUAGAGAGAGGAUCUAAUUUAACAUGUCGUACACAAUAAUAACUUAAUAUAUAGCUUCUUCUUUUUUUCUUUUUAAUUUUGGUACAAUAAAAAGCUCUUCAAAUAUGUAGAAUAAAAGCCCAAUCUACUUAGAUAUAACAUAUUUAGAGUAUGAGAUGAGAUCAGCUUAUACUGCAAAUAGUUUAUUACUGAGUUAUUGCGUAAUAAAUUAAUUGGAAUAGAGAGCAUGUAUCCCAUCAAUAUCAUCCUGAGCGAGAUCUCUUUUCUUCUUUCCAGGUGCUAUCGUUGGAUACAUGAUGGCUUCGGGAUGAUCUUUACUAUGAUAAAGGCCAAGCAGAUGUCCUAUUUCAUGAACAGUAACGGAUUCCAGGUCAGUUUGAUCCAUUGCGGGGUCAGUGCUCCAGUUCUCGUCUGCAUCGUAAUGGAGACGGCCGUCUUGUGGAAAAAAACCAUGAGCCAGUUGUUUCCCUGGUCCAUCAAAAGGAUCCUGAUCCCCAUGAUCGCCGCUGAAGAACUCAAUUACAAUAUCUGCUGAUGCACCGUCAGUCGCCUCCUGGAAAGUGAAUGGAGAAACCUUUGCCCAUGUUUGGAAAGCGUUUGAGCAGACCGACCUCAAGGUGUCCGAACCAACAACUUGGACACCCGAGCCAAAUCUGUAGGUCAGAGCAUACUUGGAAGGUGGCCACUUUCGUGUCCCGAAAUCAUAAUGAACAACCAUGUGGAACUUGUUGUGUUUUGAUGUAGUGCUGUUCGGUUUAGUGGACGGAGUGUUUAUGAUAUCAGGCAUUCCACAUCGUGGAAUCAUCAUUUGUUGUAUGGUACUAGAGUCAAGGUUACCAGUAACAUUCAGGUGAAAAUAUUCUUGGUAUGUUUUGAGUGCUAGCUCCAAGUGGUCAUCAAAAUCACUGCUUGUGAGAGUGAUAUCACUUGGGUAGUACCCAAACUUUUUGAGGUACUGUUUGAGCUCAACAAGCCCUUGCACAGUUUGGCCCUUUUGAACCCCCUCCAGCCCUUGAAGGAAGCUGCUAAAAGAUUGCCGAUGCUCGGGUUUCAAGGUUCUUGCCUGACCUCUGAAGGACUGGAUAGAAAAGAUAACGAGGAUUGCUGAUAAAAGUUGGGAAAGUUUAGGAGCCAUAUCGUUUGUUGUUUCGGAGAAUGGCUAAAGACGUGGGUUGUGGCUUUCAAUUCUAGUAUCGGAUGGCUAUUUAUAGACAUAUAGUAUGUUGUAUUGGCAUUAGGACUAUAGAAUAUGUCUUGAGAUUUACGAGUGUCCUUAUUUUUGUUAAUUCUGAUUACUUACUUUCAAACUACGUACAUUUGUCCAUCAAGCAUCUAAUUGAUUUAUUUUCUUUCAUAGUAAUCAAUGAAAUUACUAUCUAAAUAUUUGAGUUUAACUUUCAUUUAUAUGGUUAUUAUUAGAUAUCAUUAGCCAACAAAAUCAACAACUUCUACUAUUGAGAAAGUACAUCUCUCUAACCCUGAGGGAUGUAGCUUAACGGGUCAGGUCCUGAGUUUGCUCCCCAGAUGUCACCAGUUCGAGUUCCACAAAUCUCAAGGCUACUAGAGACUUACAUGAUCGUUAACUUCAAGACCCGUGAGAUUAGUCGAGGUGCGCACAAUUAAGUUGGCCCGGACACCCACGUUAAUCCAAAAAAAAAAAGAGAAAGAAAGUACAUCUCUCUUCGGUGUCCCAUAAAUUUAAAUUAUUAAAUGACUAAUCCUAAAUUGAAUCAAAUUUUUAUUUAUCAUUUCAAUAAUUUUAUUUUCAUCAUUGUUAGUCUUGAAUGAUUAAAUAUAGUAUUUUUUUUUUAAUAUAUCAUUUUUUAUUUAAUUCAUUUAAAUAAUGUCGUUGAGAAGGAGCACUCAAAAAAUAAAUGAUCAUGAAUUUCCACGUGUAAACCACACAAGAUACAUAUGGCAGAGAUGAUGAUCUAAAAAGUCUAUAGCUUGUUCAUAAUGUGUAGACGACCCAAAAAGGCAAGCCAUAAGAUAAAGGAGUGUCGUAGGACAUGUCCUGGAAACUAUAAAAGAUGGUGCAUAGUAUUCUUGGGCCUAGUAUCUCGAAGUACCUCCCAAGCUGAAUCAAUAAUGAACCUCCCCAUAUAAUGACUUGUCUAGACAUAGUGAUUCGAAGAGCUAACUGGAGGUGAAAUCUAAUGCAGUCCCAGAUUUGCUGGAGGUCCUAACUAUCUAAAGAAAAGUCCCAACCACCAUCCUUAAUAAUGUCUGAAACCUUUGCAUACCAAGACAAUCCAGUAGAUGAUGAAGUCAAGAANNNNNNNNNNNNNNNNNNNNNNNNNNNNNNNNNNNNNNNNNNNNNNNNNNNNNNNNNNNNNNNNNNNNNNNNNNNNNNNNNNNNNNNNNNNNNNNNNNNNNNNNNNNNNNNNNNNNNNNNNNNNNNNNNNNNNNNNNNNNNNNNNNNNNNNNNCAUGCCAAAAAUGACCUCCCUCUGAGCAAUACAAAAUGAACCAAAGCUGACCAAACUGACAAUCUGUUUGAAAGUAGCCUCUAAAUAUGCUUAACAAUAGCUGCUGUUUUGUUCCAAGUCUUAACCCUUUUAAUCCUAAGCCCACCCUCCUGCAAAGGAUAGCAAACCAAAUCCCAAGCCACCUUUACCCUUAAAGGGGAAGUAGAUGAACCCUUCUAGAGAAAAACAACUAGCAUGCCCUCAAUCUUCCUAAGAAAGGAUAAACAUAGUAGACUAGGGGUGUGCAAAAAAACCAAUAAACCGAGUAAACCGAGAAAACUGAUGAAAAAUUAACCGAAAAAACCGAACCGAGAAAAAAAACCGAUUAAACCGAUUAGAAUAUUUAGAAAAAAUUCUGGUUCGGUUCGGUUUUCGGUUUUGUAAUGCAGAAACCGGUUAACCCGGACCGAACCGAACCAGUUCAAAAAAAGGUCCCUAACCACCACUAGUAUAAAUAGAAACUUUUCCCCUCUUACCUAACCCUAACAAACUAAAAAUCACUCGUCGUCCCACCCCCUCUCCCUCUCUGCUAACCCUAACCAGAGCACCCACCCCAGUACUAUAGGCUCUCCCUCUCGCCUCUCCAAAAUAUUUUAGCCUAUCGGACAAGUUCUUGAGAGAACUCAGACAAGUUCUUUCGUUUAGUACGAGUACAUCACAGAAGCAUCAAUGGGUAAGCAUCAAUUUCCUCUCCUCUCCUUUUGUUUUUGGGUGAUGGGUUUUUGUUGAUGAGGUGAUUAGUCGUGUUUUAUUUCAGUUUUCAAGGAUUUUUGAUGUGGGAUCUGUGUGUUUCUUAUUUACCUUGUCAUUGGUCAUGGUUCUUCUUCAAGAAACCAACUUCUGGUUUUAUUGGCUGGUUUUGUUCUCAUAGUUUUUUUUGCCUUUUCCUCUUCAAAAUUUUUAAUUUCUACAGAGGUCAACAUGAGCUUUUCAAAUGACAUGGAUGAUGAAUAUGAGAAACUCUUUAGGAGAUUGAAUCCACCCAGGUAUGUAUUAUGCAGAUUCAUCAUCUUCUUUUUUUAAUUUUCUAAGUGAGAGUGACCUUAAAUUUUUCCCAUCAAGGUGUUAUUUAAAAUAACUUUGGUGUGUACACAUUCUAAUUUUCUUGAUUAUCCCGAUGUGCUCUGUAUAUAAUUCCUUUUGGUGUCUUGCAGGUUUUGUUAUUGAUGCAGAACCUUACUGUUAACUUGUCUAGCCCUGAUUUUGAGCCAUAUAUAAGUGUUAAUGUUUUGUAAGUAUGUUCAUAACAGCUCUUACCAGCAUGCAUGUAUAUUGCCACUUAUUUUGGCUUAUUGAAAGAAUUCAUAAAUGUGAUGAUAUAUUGCAACCAUAAUCUGAGUAUUAUGGCAAAGCUGAGGUUUCAUUCAAUGCUAAAGUUUCAACAUGUUAGAUUUUGAAGUGAAAACAGAUUUACAUCCAUUUUGUUCAGUUCUUUUUCUCUUCUUUUUUUUUAUGUCAGGGUUAUGAUUGAUAAUGAAGCUUGCAAGAAUGCUACUGUCAUAAGGGUACGAGUUUUGGUGUCUUUUUUUGGUGGGUGUGUGCUCUUCAGUCUUGCCCAUCAUUCUUGUUGUUUUUUGGGUACUAAAUAUUUCAUUGUGUUACAGGUUGAUAGUGUUAACAAACAUGGAAUACUUCUUGAAGUUGAUAGUGCUAACAAAAUGUGUUUAGGGAUGACCGCUUUUGCAAUUGAUUUUUUGGCUCAUGGAUUUAUGGAUUCUUUUGUAGGAAUAUUAUAUCAAGCAUAUUGAUGGGUCCCCUGUAAAAUUAGAGGUUAAGAGACAAAGGAUUAUACAAUGUCUUGAAGCAGCCAUUGAAAGAAGAGUAUCCGAGGUGAGUGAACUAUGGUACCUUCAAAUCUGAGAUUGUUCUUAAGGUUUACUCAUAAAACUCUCCUUGUUUUUACCAAAAUCAUGCAUCCAGCUACUAUGGUUUCAAGUUGUUCUGUGUUCCUUUCCUUGCUAUCAAAAUGCAGAUCUAUCAUAUAAUUGUAUUGAUUAUGUUGUUACUUGGGCAAUGGUGAGUUGGGUGAAGUUUAUAUACGGAAGAGGUGAUUUUAUUGCAAUGAUAAUGAUUGCAUGUUAAGAUAUGACUGGUGUCACUCACCAGUUAAAACACUCUUGCUAUUUUAUAUUCCAUGCCUUAUGUUUAGUUUCUUCUUUUUUGGUGGUAGAUGAUGAUGCAUUGAUUCUGUUAGGAAUUCACUCGCAUGCCUGUGCAGAAUGCUCCAUUCAAAUGACAGCUUGCUAUUGGGUUUUCUUGGUGUACUAAUAUCAACUUGUUGGGAACAACUGAUAGCAUGAUAGCAAAGGUUUAUUACAUAUCUUUUGUGUUUUAUGAUAAUGGUAUUUGUUGUUUUUUCUUUAAACCCUUUGAAGGCAAUGGUUUGUAAUUUGAAUUUUAACUUAUUAGUGUGUGAUUGUGAGUGUGUUAUUUAAAUUUUUUGGAAGCAGAAAAAUAUUAGGAAGGUAAAAAAUAUAUUGAACACAAGAUUGACAUUAAUAAUUUCAUAUAAAUGAAUAUUCAGUGGCAAAAAAACUUAAUAAACAUAAGAGUGACAAUAAUAAUUUAAUACAAAUGAAUAUUUAGGGGUAAAAAAAUUAAAUAUACUUUUGGAUCUUCAAAGAAAAUUAGACAAUAUCAACAUUAAUUGCAAGCCCAUCAAAAAUCCAUUAAAAACCCAUAAUAAAGCCCAUUACGAAGCCCAAAAAAAUGCAUAUAGGUUUUUUCAGUUUUGGGCAUCAGAAACCGAACCGAAACCGGUCGGUUUGGGCCGGUUUCGGUUCGGUUUCGGGUCUUUUUUUUUUUCGGUUUGGUUGUUUUUUAUGGGUAAAAACCGAACAAAACCAAAAAUGAUCACCCCUAUAGUAGACCAAUAUACUUGGAUAGAAAAGAGAACGAAUUUGAUCAGCUACAAAUGACCAGCAUAUGUAAGAGAUGUCGAAGUCCAUAACCUGAUCUUAGAGAGAAUCUGCUCAACUAAAGCCAUGCAGUCACUAUGUUUUAGUCGGGUAGUAAUCAAAGGAACCCCCAAGUAUCUGAUUGGCGAGGAGCCCAACCUGAAACACAAGAGAUCGAAAAUAGAUGCUUUCAAAUCAUCAUCCAUACCUGAUAUAAAAACAUGAAUCUUCUCUAGGUUGAUCACCAGCCUUAAUAACACAACAAAGUCAUCCAGAACCCUCCUUACAAAACCCAUUGAAUCUAUGUUUGCCUGGCAGAAUAUCAUAAGGUCAUCAUCAAAGCAUAAAGAGUAAUAUUCUCGUGCUGACACCUCCGAUGAUAGUGGUAUCUCUAGUCCUGAGCAACCUUUCUAAGAAUACAACCAAGCCCUCCAUAGCCAGCACAAACAAAGUUAGCUACGCGCCCGCUUUGGUUGCAAGACAGCUUGGGGGUAUACAACAUGUGCCAAGGAUGACUAAACUAUCACAAUUCUUUGGGUUAUUUAAAGACCAAUCUGCUUUAGAAGUCAUGAAAAACAUCAAGCAAGAUUGGAAGCUUCUGGUAUUGAUAAAAAAAAAAGGAAUUAAAUGGUUUGAGAGAUCCAGUUACUAGUGAAAAAUACCCGAGGUGGAGAAAUCUAUCAUUGAUGACUUUCCUCAUGAAUCUCGAAUUCAAAACCGAAACUUCACAAGCCACUGAACUAAAUAAGAGAAAAAGGAUUAACAACGAGGAAGAGUUAAGAGAACAAUGGAAAAGGUCCAAGUAUAAUUGGGCACCAGUAAAGCCCUCAGGAUGUCCCUUGAGGAACAAUUCUUCAUUGAAGAGAAACUAAGGAAGUUUGUGGAGUAACAGUUGAUGGAAAAAGAUAAAAGAGUCGUGUCUUUAGAGAAGCAGUUGAGAGAGGAAAAAGUGGCUAGAAACCGAGCUGAGAAAGAGCGAAGAGAAUUGAGAACAAGUUGGAUGCAAAACAAUACCAAAUUUGAGACAUUGAAAGCCGAUUUCAAUUAUUGCCAAGAAAGAGUUGAACAACAAACAUUCCAAUGACUCAUUCAAUUAUGUAUGCUUAAGUGCCGAUCAUAAUAGAUCUAACUAUGGGGAAAUCCCAUGGGUUUAAAUCUUUUGGUCACCCUAAACAAGAUAAGUGGGUUGCUUGAGAGGAGAGGUUUAGAGUUGUUGAGGAAUUUGACGUCUAUGACCUGGUUAGAAUAACUAAGAUAUACCUAGUACCAAAUGUAAUGGUACCCAAGGAGUUUGGAAUGCCAGAAUUCGUCAAGUACAUGAAGUUAGAAUGCCUUAAUACACACCUGAGGUCAUAUUACAAAAAAAUAACGGAGGUCAUACAUAAUGACAAGUUGAUCAUCCAUUUCUUCCAAGACAACUUGACUAGUUCGGCAUUAAGCUGGUAUAUGACUUUAGAUAAUACAAGGGCUAAGAAAUUGAGUGAUCUCGUUGAUGCCUUUUUAAGGCAAUUCAAAUUCCAUAUUGACAUUGCUCUGGACCGAACGAGUUUAAUAGUGAUGGAUAAGGGAAACAAAGAAACAGUGAGGGGGUAUGCUCAUAGAUGGAAAAACAAGGUAAUGCAUGUAUAACCAUUUUUGUUAGAAAAAGAAAUGGUGACUUUAUUCGCCAAUACUUUCAAAUCUUUGUAGUAUGAGUGCUUGAUGGGUAGCUCUGCCCAACACUUUUAUGAUGUCGUGGUUAUUGAUGAGAGAAUAGAGUAAGGAAUAAGAGCCGACAGAAUAUGAAAACCAACCACGAAGAAAGGUUUUACUAGGAGGAAAAAAGAUGUUGAGGUAAGCAAUAUAGAAGAAGGGUACAUGGGUAAAAAGGAUUUCCAAACCCAAAGCUAUCACAUCCAAACCUAUUAAGCCUUGUCUCUUAAAGUACACAAUAUAAGCUUUGCCAAGUCUUUCCCAGUAAACUAGCCCACCAACCUAUCAAAAAACCAAACUGAAAACAACCCAAAAAGAACAUACCAAAGAAACCAAGAACAACUCCCACCUUUACCAAUACCUCUAGGGAAAAUGUAUGCAAAACGGUUAAGUAUAGGUCAUGUGACCCCUCUUCCUUUUCCACCAUUUAAACCUCCCUUUCCAAGUUGGUAUAAGUCAGAAUUGACCUAUCACUACCAUGCUAGAAAUCUUAGCCACAUCAUACACUUGCUCAGCAUUUAAGAAGAAGCUCUUGCAAUUAUUCAAGGCAGGGUGAAUAACUUUUAAAGAUACCCCAACAUCAAUUUCAACCCUUUACCCAAUCAUGCUUCUAGUAGUGGAGGAGUAAACAUUGUGGAGUAUGAAGGGAAGAAAAAGCAAGUUUUAAGGGUAAACAUGGAUAAGCUAUAAGACAUGUUGUUGUAAGCCGAGUAUUUUCCAGUAAAAAAUGGAUCAGGUCCAAAAAAGGAUGAUGGUUUUGGUAGGUUCCACAAAGCGAUGGGACAUAACAUUGAGGGAUGUGAGGAGUUUUAGCAGAAGGUGAUAUAAUUGAUAACUUUUGAUCCUUUACAAAUAAAGAAGGAGGAAGAGGAUGAUGUGUGGGCAUGAUAAGUUUAUUAGGGAAGAAAGUAGAAGUGUGUAGGAUCCACCGUACUGAGAGUGGUCCACUAAAACUUGUUUUGACAAGAGCUACCUUUUGAGGAAAAGUUGUUGACCAUACACAUUUUUUAUUCUUCUGAUUCUAGAAAAACCAAAGCAAACACCCAUCAAGAUGGAUUGAAACUCCUUUAAAUAGUGUUUUUUAUUGCUUAAAUCUCUUUCAAAACAACUUUGUAAUGGCUAUAAAGUGAAGAAAAUGGUUUUUAUGAUGGUUUUUUUAGUGGUUUGAUGAAAAAUUUGGGUCUAAUGUAUGGUGUACAUGGUAGAAUAAGUGAAGGGUAGUUUAUGUUCUUAUAUAAGCCUUGGCUCAUUAAUGAAGCUCAAUUAUCUUUAGCUUUUUAUGCCACUAUUUGAACAUAUAAUGGCCUUAAACUGCUGGUUAAUAACUUUAUUUGAUUGAUUAAGUCAUCUCUUUAGGUCUAGGUAUAUGAUAUGACCCAUCACUUUAUUGGACUAAAAAAGGAUAGGUCAAACCUUAAGAAGUCUAAUUGACUUAACUACCCCAUAACAUACUAGUCUUCAGAUUAAACCUAAGGUUUCCACAUAGCCUAACAUAAUAACACACUCGAGUAGAGGGACAAACCAACUCCAAAACACAAGUUAGAAUAGGAAGGGCGUAACCCAAAAUUAUUCUAUCCACUCUCUCUAUAGUUGAUAUCAAGCGUUAAAUGCUCUCAUGUCCUCCUAUUAUAAUUAGGCUCAUAGAUUGGUGUUAGGGAUGCCCAUAGCCAGUGGAUAACCCAUAUGAUAUCAUUUCUUUACUCAAUAGUGAAUCACCAACCACAAGAAUGUUAUCCUAAGUAAUUACAACUAAUGUAGGUUUCAUAUUAUUUUCCCCUCACUUUAUCCUUAAUUCCAUGCAAGUUGGCAUGAUUUAUGGCUAUAUAAAUAUCCAUGAAUCACCGGGUAAGGCAAGUUCCAAUAACAUAUUUCUUAGUGCAUAUUUUUCCUCUUCGUAAUUACAUAUCAUUACGACCCUAUUUGGGGUUGCGUUUGCACCAGAAUUUUAGUAAAUUUUGAAAUUUCUUUCUUCAAAUUAAUUUUUUUAUGUAUUUUUAGAUCGUUUUGAUGUGCUAGUGUCAAAAAUAAAUUAAAAAAAUACAAAAAUAUAUUAUUUUGAUGAAUUUCCAAACAAAAAACAAUUUAAAAAGCAACCUCAACCACACUUCCAUAUCUCCUUUAAAUUUAGCAAACAAAUAUACUACACAACUUGAAAGGCUUUAUUCCUUUUAUAUUUGUGAUAACUUAAGUAUUUGAGGAUCUUUCACGCUAAAAAAUAAUUCAGCUCGUAGGGUCUCAACCGUUGGGAGCUCUCCAUUAGUAUCGAGCACCCAGUCUGAGGAGUUCAUUGCCUUGAAACAACAAUAUCAACAACUCUCGACGAAUUAUGAUGAGCUCCGUCAAAUAGUCAUGGAGAUGAGAUCAAAGAUGGGUGAUGAUACUUGUGUAGCUCCUUUUUGGCCGUACGGUCCCGGGUACAACCGGCCUCCUCCUCCUCCUCCAGCUCCGCCGCUAUUUUAGUUUAAUUUUGUUUUUUAAACACAUUAAAUUUGUUAUGAAUAUUUGGAUGAAUAUUAUUUAACAUUAUUUUUAUAUUUUUAAUGUUUAAUCCAAUUUUAUUUGUUUAUUAAGCUUUUUUACUAUUAAUUAAUUUUUUUUAUAUUUUAAAUACAUAUCGACGACUUUACCGACGGAUAAUUUCCAUCGGUAUUUCACAGAGAGUUGCCAAACAAUUACCACCCAUGCCAUAAUUACCGACGGAUAUAUUCCGUCGGUGAUUAAAUACAUAUGGAUUUAUCGACGGAUAAUUUCCAUCGGUAUUUCAUAGAGAGUUGCCAUAGCAAUUACCACCGAUGCCAUAAUUACCGACAGAUUAUCCGUCGGUAAUUACCAUUGAAAAUUCAGACGGAUUUAGUCCGUCGGUAAUGUUCUCGCGGGAAUUUUUUUUUUGGCGCGUGUAUCCAUCUGUAAGACCGUUGGUGGGUGGUUUUUUUUAUUUGCGACAUAAUUAGCGACGGAAAGGGGAGUUACCGACGACCAUUAUACCGACGGACGUGUUCCGUCGGUAAUUUUUUACUGACAGAGUUCAUUCCUGUCACCGAUAGAAUUAGUUCGUUGGUAAAACUGUUUAAUGAUGUAGCAUAGAAGAGUUCAUGAAGGAGUUUCACUCCAAUAAGGAAGUGGUUUUUGGCAGUAAGCUUUAUUGUUCUGCAACUGAGUUUUUACUUGUUAGAAGUAGGAGGGAAAUGUGGGCAGCCAUUGGAGAUAAGAAAAGAAAAUUUCAAUGGCUGAAAUUAAUGUUUGAGAGGAGGUCAAACAUAAAACCUUGGUGUAAGUGUAAAUCUGCUAUAAUGUACUUACACUUAUUUAUAUUCUAUUUCUUAGCAAUUGAAGUUGAUUGUGUUUUCAUAUGUUUUUUUUGCAGUAUUACAUGAAUUUCAUAUUUCAAGUGAAGAGUGGUUGGAUUGUAUAUAACACUGAUUCUGUCAACAUAUUGUAAUGAUCCAUGAACAUAUUUUGGUGUUGUGUGUUUUGGCAGUUACAAGAGCACAAUAUGGAUCCUUAUGUUGAUUUGCACUUCAUGAGCUGCUGCUGCUGCUGCUGUGUUGUUAUAAUAUGGUUCAAUGUACAGGAUUAGUCAUUGUUGUUUUUUCACAUUUCUAAUUUGAAACGUAUAUUAUGUUAAUGUAUUGCAUUUUAUUUGUAUCUGUUGGAUAAUGGUUCCUGUUGGAGGGUUGAAAAAUAUGUCAGAAUGCUUCCUAUUAGAAGCUGGAAUUAUAGGUGUUGAAUGUGGUUAGAAUGGCUGUAAACAUUUGGGUUGUGUUUGCUGUUGCAAUCUGGAAUUGGAUAUUGGAAUUUGUAAGUUUGAAUGGUUGUUAACAUGUUGAUUGUUAGCUUUGAGAGUUUGGAAUUGUUGGUGUAAAGUUGGUUUGAAUGGCUGUUAAAAGCUGGCAUUUGUACAUUUGUUUCUUCAUGUCUUGCAUUGCCUAUUUAAAGCACAAUUUCAAUUGCAGCACAUUCAUUUAAGCCGCCAACAUAUAACAAGCAUUGCCACUUGAAUUGCACUAUUUUAAGAAGGUUAGUUGCCGGUUUUGAGGUUAUAUAAUAAAUCAAUUUUAUGUACCUCAUUCCUCCUCAAUUAAUUGCUCUUAUUGUUGCAAACUUAACUAAAUUCAUUAUUGAUAAGUGUGCUUGUGAUGCAUGCAAUAUUGUAUUCAUUAAUUAUUACUAAAAAAUCUACGAUAAUUUGGGAAUGCUUUAUAGUUAUUGUUUUGGUUUAAGUUUAGGUCGCAUGAAAUUUUAAUAUUCAAAACAGAUUCUCUAUGUACAUGUAUUUAUGGAAAUUUCAUGGGUGAAAAUUAUAUUGUGUUGUAGAUAUGGAUGCAAAUUGGUUUAAUGAUCUAUUUGAUGACGAGUAUGACAAUGCUAUGAAUAAUAUUGUUCAGUAUGUGUCAAAUGGUUUGGUGGUACAAGUACUGGAUGUGGUUUUGGAUGUAGUAGCGGUGCUGGUAAUGGGAACAAUACAGAUGACGACGACGACGACGACGACGAUGCAAAUAAACACGAUGAUGAUGAGGAAGAUGAUUUGUUUUCGCUUAGAGAGUGUGAUUGCAAUAAAUUAUUAUUAUGCACAGCUGGAGCACUGACUUUGUAUUAUAAUAAUUAUAUUUACAAAGAACCAUGUAUGGUUUCAUACAACACAGGAAUGAGAUGGUUAAAUGAAAUUUUAAAUGGGCAUUGGGUACGUUGUGUUAACAUGUUUUGGAUGAAUGCAAACGCAUUACAGAGUUUGUGUGUUGAUUUGGGAACACUGUAUGGGCUAAAGUAGUCUAGAAAGAUGAGUGUUAUUGAGAAGGUAAGCAUGUUUCUUUAUACUUUAGCUUUAGGAGCUUCAAACAGGAAAGUUCAUGAGAGAUUUCAACAUUCAGGUGAAACCGUAAGCAGAUAUUUCAACGAAGUUCUUAGGUCGGUGUGCUUGCUAGCUAUUGAUCUUAUCAAAUCAGUAGAUCCAGAAUUCUCAACAACACCAAUGGAAAUUGCAAUGAAUCCAAGGUAUAUGCCACAAUUCAAGGUGAAAAAUACUUUAUCUAAGUUGUUAAAUAAUUGAAAAGGUUACAAACAAAUAUUUAUAGUACAUUUAAAUUGAUUCGUAAACUAAUUUUUUUUUGUAGAAUUGUAUUGGAGUGAUUGAUGGAACACAUGCACAUGCUUGUGUAUCACAAGAAAAUCAAAUACCAUUUAUUGGUAGAAAAGGUGUACUUGCUCAAAAUAUAAUGACAACAUGUAGCUUUGAUAUGCAAUUUACAUUUGUUUGGGCUGGAUGGGAAGGUAGUGCACACAAUACAAGAAUAUUUCUUGAGGCGAUUGACAAUCUAAAUAUAAGAUUUCUGAAGCCACUAGAAGGUAUUGAGACAUAAAAAAUUGGGGGUGUUGUUCAAUUUGAAUAAUUUUAUUUUUUGUCUGAAAUAGGAAAUAAGUUUUGAACUAUCAUUAUCUUGAUGCGGGGAAGUAUUAUCUCCUUGAUUCGGGAUAUCCAAAUGAGUACGGUUACUUGGGGCCAUAUAGAGGUGAGAGAUAUCAUCUUCCAUAAUUUCAUCGAAAAGGACAACUGCAAAGUCAGGAAGAAAUAUUCAACUGUGUCCAUUCAUUGUUACGAUGUGUAAUAGAACAUACAUUUGAAGUUUGGAAGAAAAGGUGGAGAAUCUUGCAAAACAUGCCUGUAUUUCCUUGCAAAACACAAGUUCAAAUUGUUGUCGCAUCAAUGACACUGCAUAAAUACAUUCGAAGGAAGUCGAUCCAAGAUGUUGCAUUUAACGAGUUUGAUCACCAUCCUGAUUUUGUUCCUACUGAUACUUUAACCAAUGUGGUUCCAUAAUCAUAAACACCUGGGCAUUAGAGGGCUUCGCGUAUGGAUUAUGUUCGUGAUGACAAUGCAACAAGUUUGAUGGGGAAAUAAUAUUCAUUUUUUUAAUAAAAAUGAAUAUUUUUUAUGCCGAUUAUUGUUCGUACUAAAUGUUAUUUUUCCUAUUAAAACAAAUAAUAAAUUAAUUUAUGUCCUUUUUAGUCAUUUUAUAUACAACAUCAAUCCUAACCACAAUUUUAACCAAACAUAUCAUGCAAUGAUUUUUAGCAAAAAAAAGUCAAACCACAAUUUUAACCAAACACACAUUUUAUAUGAACCAACCACAAUAAAAAUAAUUUUUUUAAAAUUACUUUGUUCAAACCACAACCAUAACAUUUACCACAAAAAUAAACACUCUUAGAGUAUGAGAUGAGGCCAGCUUUCAACUGCCAUGAAUAUUUUCUAGUAAUUCCUUAACUUAUACUGCAUAUAGUUUAAUUAAUUAAUUGGAAUAGAGAGCAUGUAUCCCAUCAAUAUCAUCCUGGGAGAGAUCUCUUUUCUUGCUUCCACGUUCUGUCGUUGGAUACAUGAUGGCUUCGGGAUGAUCUUUACUAUGAUAAAGGCCAAGCAGAUGUCCUAUUUCAUGAACAGUAACGGUUUCCAGGUCAAUUUGAUCCAUUGCGGGGUCAGUGCUCCAGUUCUCGUCUGCAUCGUAAUGGAGACGGCCGUCUUGUGGAUAAAAAGCAUGAGCCAGUAUAUUCCCUGGUCCAUCAAAAGGAGCCUGGUCCCCAUGAUCGCCGCUGUAGAACGCAAUUACAAUAUCUGCUGAUGCACCGUCAGUCGCCUCCUGGAAAGUGAAUGGAGAAACCUUUGCCCAUGUUUUGAAAGCGUUUGAGCAGACCGACCUCAAGGUGUCCGAACCAACAACUUGGACACCCGAGCCAAAUCUGUAGGUCAGAGCAUACUUGGAAGGUGGCCACUUUUGUGCCCCGAAAUCAUAAUGAACAACCAUGUGGAACUUGUUGUGUUUUGAUGUAGUGCUGUUCGGUUUAGUGGACGGAGUGUUUAUGAUAUCAGGCAUUCCACAUCGUGGAAUCAUCAUUUGUUGUAUGGUACUAGAGUCAAGGUUACCAGUAACAUUCAGGUGAAAAUAUUCUUGGUAUGUUUUGAGUGCUAGCUCCAAGUGGUCAUCAAAAUCACUGCUUGUGAGAGUGAUAUCACUUGGGUAGUACCCAAACUUUUUGAGGUACUGUUUGAGCUCAACAAGCCCUUGCACAGUUUGGCCCUUUUGAACCCCCUCCAGCCCUUGAAGGAAGCUGCUAAAAGAUUGCCGAUGCUCGGGUUUCAAGGUUCUUGCCUGACCUCUGAAGGACUGGAUAGAAAAGAUUACGAGGAUUGCUG